This 62588-nucleotide long non-coding RNA is filed under the name Citrus x clementina. Its description in RNAcentral is "Citrus clementina (C. clementina) long non-coding RNA (CCLE_LNC000836)". The record is from RNAcentral. Lineage: Eukaryota; Viridiplantae; Streptophyta; Magnoliopsida; Sapindales; Rutaceae.
CGUCAUCAUCAUCAAAACUGCCAAAACCGUCAUCUGGGUAUUCUUUAUUUGUGGUGAAAAACUCAGAGACGGGGUUUUUUGAUAGAACAGUGAAGUUAUUUUUGUGGGUUAAAGAUUGUUGUUUCUGAGGAAAAAAAGGGUUUUUUUGCAGGGUUUUGGAGAAAAGAGAAAGAUGGGUUUUUUGCGACGGCUUAGGGUUAACAGAUGGAGAUGGGUUUGAGAGAGGGCAGAUGUUGGCGGUGCCUGUUGUGGUGGCUGCCAUUAAUGGCUGAAUUUAUUCUAUUUUAUUUUAGUUUUUGGGUUGCCUUGAAAGAAAAAACAGAGGAGGUGUGUGGAGGGAGACAGUGGCGAAGGGUACUUUAAGUAGAGGGGAACUUGUUCUAGGUUUUUUUCUGGAAUUGUGAGGGAAUCUGAUCCUGUGUUUGUGCACAUGAUUCAAUUACUUAUAGGUGAUACUGUUGUGUCACCACAAAUUCUAAUUGGGAAGCUUCAGCUGUCAAUUUUUUUCCAAGGGUUAAUUAGGUAGAACUUUCAUGUCGUCGAAUUUAUUUGGAGAUUCUAAAAGUGGUUUCCAAAUAAAGAGAUGGACCAAAAUCAACAAUGUGACAAAGAUACUUUCGAUUUUUUUUCCUUGUGGGACACGAAAAUUGAUGCAUGUUCCAAUGCAUUGCUCUAUCAGAAUUGGAAUUAAACUUAGUUUGUAUUCUCCUAUUCCGAAAGCAAAACUUAUAAGUGAUAUUCUAAGAAGAAGAAAUUAAGAACCAUGACAAUUUUGAUGAUUCUAAUUUGCUAGAAAUAUUGCAAUCCAAAACUAAGAAAGUUAAAACCAAUUAUUAGAAGAAAAAAGUAGGACGGAGGCUCCCAGAAUAUUGUUAUGUGUUGUAUGUUUUCAGUUUGUAUUUCCCAAUCAAUAAGGAAAAGUAAGUACACAUGUUACAAAAAUUUAAUAAAAAAGAUUGGAAGUGACAAAACUGUCAAUUUUCUAAUUAACUUUCUCUCCUUUCGAACUUCCUGAGUUUGGUAGAGACUACUUAAGUGGUGUAUCUAUUAUAAACACCUGAAGUGAAAGUUAAUGUUUUAAUUAUUAAGAAAAGUUAGAAGAAGAAAUUUUUGUAUAAGAGAAUUGGGUUUAAAUUUAGAAUUCAUGGGGAGGAAAUGAGUCUAAAUUCUAAUAAUAUAAUUCAACACUAUUUAUAUAUAUCAUUAGUUGGGUGAAAAAUUAAUUUCCAUCCUUUGAUGUGAAAAACUCUCUUGAUCGUCUAUUUUUAUAUGAUGGUAAUUUUUUAUUUAAAGUGAAAUUAUUGGCACCCUUUCAUUAUCCUUAUAAAAUUCUACUUCAAAUAAAAUUACACUUAAAGACAAUAGAAUUAAACAAUAUAGUUUUUUCUUUAAAACAAAUUACUCAUCUAAUUUUCUACAGGUUGCUUUGUAUCUAAUUAAAAUAAAUUGUACAAAUUUAAAAUAAUCUAUUAUUUUUUUAAAUUUCUUAUUGAUUAAAUACUUGUGUGCUUAAGAUAGCUUUAAAACUAUAAGAUAAAAUAUAUAUAAUUUAAGUCAAUGAUUAACAUUAAAAAAUUUAUCUCUCAUAAAAGUUUUUAAUUUGUGCGUAGGGUAAUAAUAAAAUUGCAAAAGAAAUGAAAAAUAGCGUAGCACCAUUUUGAGUUUAAACAAUGAAAACUUUAAAUGAAAAAUUAGAAGUGUAUUUAAAAAAAGGAUAUUUUUAAAAAUAAAAUAAAUAUAAUUAAAAAAAAAGAGCUUCAUGAGGGUGCAAUAGUUCAACUCUUUUGUUUAUAAGUUUUAAGAUGUUGGUAUCCGUAGCUUAGCUUUUCCCUAAUUAUUGUAUUAAAAUGUAACAACAAUGAUGAUCAACCCUAAUUUCAUGGAGGUCAAAGAUUUUGGUCAUGCCGCAUUAAUUAGUUCGGUCAUACUUUCUACAAAUUUAUUUACAUUUAUAAUUUGACCAAGACUAGGUAAGGUGCCGCCUGGAGUCAUAUAAUUUUUUAUGUCAAAAGCGCGUUUCACUUCAAUUAAGCCAUAAAUCUCGUUUAAUAUGCUCAUUUGUAUUUUUUUUUUUUAAGUUUUAUUAUUAUUUUUUGUUUUUAAAAAUAUCAUUUAUUUAUUUUUUUAAAAUUUUUUUAAAGGUAAAGAAGUGGGUAAAGUUCAAAUUCAAUUUUUAUCCCUUACGUCAUGGCCCCUAAGAUUUGAACUUUGGUGACCAAAUGUAUAAUAAUAGGCAUCUCAAAUUUCAUUUCAAAUGAUAUGUAAUAUAUUAAGUGAUUGUUAAUCUUUACAAGAUCUGAGUGAAUUAAUUAUAUUAUCUCACUAACUAAUUGAUGAGUAUCAUAUUAUUUGGAAUAACUUUUGGAUAAAAAAAUUGUGACUGAUGAAAUAUUCUUUUGAGGAUUUAUUGACUUAACUCAUUUAUGACUUAUUGUUGCAUUUAAGUGAUAUUGCAAAUAAUUUUUCCGAUAAUAUUAUUGUUUUGACGAGUAAGUUUGGAGUAAAUAAUACAUAUGGCAAGUGUGAGGUUUGUUAUUGCAUAUAUUUUGUGGAUCCAUUUUAAAGCCAAAAAAAGGCAUUUCAAUUCAUUAUGAUUCCAGAUAAUUUCAAGCCAUAUGUCAUUAUUGAGAUAAAAAUAAAGUAAAAUGGUUAAAACUAUUUUUAUGUAAUUUAUAAAAAUUAAUGAAGCACCUGCAAAAAUUUUUAAACGAAAAACAAUUGAAAUGUGUGUGGAAAAAGAAGAAAAAAAUAAGGCAUUUAAAUAUCUUCUUAAAAAAUACGAUUGAGUAAAAUCAUUUUAACAGAAUGCUCUUCCAAAUGCAAUUCCACAUUAUUUUUAUUACAUUGGGAUAUUCCAAAAUUGGUACAACUCAUUAAGAAUUCGGCAACUCAAAUUUUAUUUAUCACUCUAUGCAUUUGACAAAUUAAAAAGAAAAAAAAUUCAUAUAUCUUCUGUUCAAAAGAAACCUGGGUAAAUAUUGUAAAACAAAUUACCAUUUUUUUAAAUUUAUGCCAUUAUAUCGUCGCUAUUUUCUCGCCCACUUUCUUAAAAUAGAAUCAAUAUUUAUUGAUGCGUUGGGUUCCAAAGUAAGCACCAAUUCAGCAAAAUGGUUUUAUAGCAGAAAAAGCACUUGUAAGACAUUCAGAUCACAUUUUUCAAUUUUGUCUUCUGAAAAUGAGCCUUGAGUUUCCGCAAGCCAAGAAGAAUGGCUAAAAAAUGUAUGAGUGUGUAAUUUGAUAGUCCAAUGGGUAUAUGCAAAAGGAAAAAAUUGGCUGUCCUUUAAGACAAAAUUGACUGUCACAUGAAAAUGUUAGCAUACUUGCCACGCAACGAAAAUAAAGAUUCCAAGAACAACUUUAUGGUCCCCUUUCUGUCCAAACAUAUGCGAUAGAAAUUAGUGUAAACGACACUUGAAAUAUUUAUGUAGAUCCUCACACAAUUGAUUAAAUAUUUAUAGUAGGGUGGAGUGAUAAAUAGUUUCACAAAAUUAUUGGAAUUAACUACUUAAUAUAUGAGAUCUAUCUCAUUAAGUAUAAAAGAUUUGAGUGCUGCUUCAAAAGCAUGAUGUUGCUGGCAACAAAUUUAACACAAAAGUUUAAUUAACUAUCCUAAUUGAGAUAAUAAAAUCUCGUAUUGAAAACAAAAGGUUUAAGGUUCGAACCUUCUCAUUCAAGAAAAUCAAGUCAAAAUAUUACAUCUUCCAGCACAUGUCAAAGAUUUUUUCAAAGGCAGACUGAUAAUUCAGGGUAAAAAAAAAAGGAAUACAUGCUAUUCAAGACAGGUAUACCUUGGACAUGAAGUCUGAGUCCAGAGCAAGAAGCACUUAGCUGAUUUUUCAAUUUCCAAAACCCAAUAAAAUCUUUGUCAAAAUAUAUGAUCUAGUCCCAUCUUAAGCACAUUCAUAGCCGUAUCACCAGGUUCAAAAUAUUUUCCCCAAAUAGAGGUAGAGAUUCCAUUGAAGUUGAGUUGUGACUUUCCCAACGUUUUGUAAUUAUAUGGUUCAGUAUACCAUGCCUAUGAAUCUUUUUUUUUUUUUUUUUUCAUGUUUCGAAGUCUAUCAAAUGAAAAUGUAAUUAUAUGGUUCAGGAUCUCAAUAUGCCGGAGCUGCAAAGGUUGACUUCUACUAUCCAAUCAAUGUCUAUACUUUCUAUUGAAUUUCCUUGUUUUUUUUUUAAAUUGCGAGAUUUAUUUUUUAAAAAUCUUGGACACAUUUUAUGUAAGAUACCAUAAAACCAAAUACAACCUUUUUUAUUCUCAGCAGCAACAUUUUUUUUUUCCUUUUAAAGAAAGGAAGCCAUAUAAAUAAUGCUUUAAACAUUAUUUGCAACAAGGAACAAUUAUUUCAUGCUUUCAUGUAUUACAAACUUUCCAAAAACGCUAGCAAGAAAAUGAAAUGGAACUUUACCUAGUCACAUAAUAUAUACUGCUGUUAGCACAAUUGUUAUGAAGUGGCUUUUGCAUCCGAUGAUUCCAGCUCCUACCAAGCAUUGUUAUCUCUAUUCUAAAUACACUCUGCAUUGCUGGGCAUGAGUUAUAUGAUUAAUGUCUGCAUCCUCACUUACAUCAUCCCAAUCAAGUGCUUUUUCUCCACAUCUGGAUUAUAAGUCCACUCCAAUCUCUUCAAAACAUCCAAGUCCUUCCAUCACAACUGAUACGACUUCCUUCCUUAUUACUUCCCCAUUAAUAAAUCCCUCCAUGAAAAAAAAAAAAGCAUUAGCAAUUCUCUUCAAUGCCCCAUCAUUCAUAUCCCCUACAACAACCAUCUUCAGACACCUCAACGUUGCCUCUUGAAAGACCUCCACAAAAUCCGAAUCAUCCGACACAACCACUAAACACCCAAACCUUCUUUUGUCCACCAUAUCCACCAUAUAAUUCCUUAACUAAACAUCGACAUCUUGUGGCUUAUCUAACACCUUCCUGACCCAAAACCAUGCUGUUUUCAACUCAUCUGCAAAAACAUAACCCGCUUUUGGAGUCAAAAUUGCACUUGCAGCCAUUUUAUAUUUUGCCAUCUUUAUUGAAUAGUUGCCAACCAAAAGCACUCUCACCUUCCCUCUAGCUGAUUCUAUUUGAUUCGACCUAUUCUUUUGUUCACCCUCAUGAAUUUGCCUAAAAUGAUUAACAAGUUUGUCAUUAUUAUAAAAUCUCCUUCCACAAUCACCUAUAUAUACGGCUUAGUAGGCCUAAUUACACCCUUGAUUUCUAUUUGGUUAAACAAUUCUCUUUCUUUCUUUGCUCUCUUACAACUUGAGGCACAUAACUAAACACGUGGCUAUUAGCAUUUGCUACCAUGUAUUUAACAACCCCAAAUGAAGAUAUUAAUUUUUUUAGUUUAAUUGCUGCUUCAAAAUGGGGUACUGCAUUUGGAUUUUGUUAUUCAAAUACCAAAAUGUUCCCACAUUGUGUUGGACAGUUUUUGGUUCUAAAGUUGAUGAUUGGUUUUGCCAAUCAGGCUUCAAAUGAGAACUUCUAAACAAUACGACAAAUGGGUUUUUGAGUUUCUAAUUUUGUAAACUUUGUUCUAUUGUGUAAGUUAUGAAAUCGCUGAAACAUCACUACAGCUACAGGUCUUUAUGUGUCAAAGAACUGCAGAAGCUGAUGAUCUACCUGUAGUAGACUGCUAUUGCCCCUGCCGUUCUAGGAAGACAAACAAGUUCAGGAACUACUUCUGGACCAAACUCAUAAUAUUGCCACUGCUUUGUGCCAAUCUGAGACGGAAAGAAGAUUUUAGUUCCUAAAUAAGGCACAUCAUGAUUUAAUAGAAGUACCACUAUAAGGAAAAAUGGAUUUCAGGAAAGCACUAAAAUAUGACAUAAUCUCCCCCUAAUAGUCUAAAGUAUCAACCAAGCAAAAACACAUAAACUAGUUGAGAUACAAAGUUAUCAUAAAAGUCAAUUUUGAUCACAAAUCCAUUAAAAUUAAAAGACAUUAGAAAGUUAGAGAACAUUAUAAUUUAGGACUCAGCUAAGUUGCAGAUUCUGUAACUAACAGCUGAGUCCACAUUGGCCUUACAUUAGUUGAGUUUGGGUUGCUUUUCCUCUCUCCUGCAACGCGUACGUGGAAGCGCCCCAUUUGCCGUGUUCUAUACCGAGUUGGUACCUGUUAAAUUGUAAAGUAUUUGUUUGGUUUCUAAGAAAGUUACAGAGAGAAAAUAACAAGAGAGAAUGAAUGUGAAUCAUUUCAUUAAUCUGAAUGGUUUUACAAAGAUGUAUAUAUACAAGCAUUUCGAAUCUUCUACAUGCUGUUUAAGCUUUAGCUAACAGCAUAACAACCUUCCUCCAGCUCAGCUGCCAAGUCCGCAUUAAUAACAAACUUGAUUAAACAAAUCAACUGAGCUUAACUAACUAAACCAUCUUAACUAAUUCUAUUAUCUUAACAGCCCCUCUCAAGCUCAAGGUCUGGGAAGAACAUUGAGCUUGGACCGUAGAUAAUGAAAUUGAUCAAAUGCUAAUGGUUUAGUUAGAAUAUCUGCUACCUGAUCACAACUUGGAACAUGAUUAAUUUGCAGCUCCUUUCUAGAUACAUGCUCUCUAAUGAAGUGUAGAUCAAGUUCAAUGUGUUUAGUUUUAGAAUGAUACUUAGGAUUGCUAGCAAGGGCUUCUGCACUUUUGUUGUCACAGUAGAGAACUGGAGACUGCAGCAAAGACACUUUUAGUUCUUUGAAAAGAUAUGUGAUCCACAAUACCUCAGCUGUUGUCAAAGCCAAAGCUCUGUAUUCUGAUUCAGCUGUACUUCUAGAUACUAUAUGCUGUUUCUUAGAGGACCAUGAAACCAAGUUGUUGCCUAAGUAAACACAAUAUCCCCCCACUGACUUCCUAUCAUCCAGAUCAGAUCCCCAAUCAGCAUCUGAAAAAGCUGUAAGACUAAGUGAUCCAGAUGAGUAAAAUUGUAAACCAUGAUCUGCUGUAUACUGCAGAUACCUCAGCACCCUUUUGCAAGCUUGCCAAUGAAGUACUGAUGGAUUAGAAAGAUAUUGGCUGAGUUUAUUCACUGUAAAAGCAAUUUCAGGCCUUGUUAGUGUAACAUAUUGCAAUGAGCCAACCAAACUUCUGUAUAGAGAAGGAUUCUCAAACACUUCACCCUUGUCUUUGACUAAUUUCUCUGUUGAGCUCAUUGGUGUUGAACAGCCCUUGCAGUUCACCAUUUGAGCUUUCUUGAGCAAAUCACCAAUGUACUUAGUUUGUGAUAAGUGCAAACCAUCCACAUUUGGAGUUACCUCAAGACCGAGAAAGUAAUUAAACUCCCCAAGAUCUUUCAAGGCAAACUCGGCACCCAACUGAUGUAUCACCUUUUCUACCAAAAGAGAAUUUGAGCCUGUGAUCAAAAUAUCAUCUACAUAGAUUAGUGCCACAAUAAUUUCUCCUGCCACAUGAUGAACAAACAAGGAAGUAUCUGAUUUGGAUGUCACAAAACCCCACUGAAUUAAAGAAGCUUUCAACCUGUCAUACCAGGCUCUUGGAGCCUGUUUGAGUCCAUAAAGUGCCUUAGUGAGUUUGCAGAUAUGAGCUGGAAAUUGAGGAUGAACAAAACCCUCAGAUUGAUGCAUAAAAACAUCCUCUAUAAGAAUGCCAUUAAGGAAGGCAUUAUUAACAUCUAGCUGCCUAAUUGUCCAAUGAUUCAUGACAGCAAGACUCAGAAUUAUUCUGAUGGUGCAGGGCUUUACAACUGGACUGAAAGUUUCAAAAAAAUCCACCCCUUGUGUCUGAUGAAACCCCUUGGCAACCAAUCUGGCUUUGUACUUUGAUAUGCUGCCAUCAGGGUUAUAUUUAAUUCUGAAUACCCAUUUGUUUCCAACAAUCUUCCCAGCUGUUUCUGGAGGAAUAAGAACCCAGGUUUGAUUCUUUUGUAGUGCAUCAAAUUCUUCUUGCAUAGCUUGUUGCCAUUUGGAGUCUGCUAGAGCUGCUUUAACAGAUGAAGGUUCAAGCUCUUGAGCUACUGUUAAGUAUGUCUUGGGCUUAAACACACCAGCUUUUGAUCUGGUAGUCAUGGAAUGAAUGUUCUGAACUGAAGAUGUCUGUACUGGCUGAUGAACUUGGAUGUGUGGUGAUACAUUUUGAGAUGAAUGGCUUGGAGAUGAAUGUGCUGAAGAUGUAUGGGAGUGACUUGAAUCAGGUCCUGCAUCUGGAUUUGAGGGAAUAGCAUAGGAUUGUGCAUUGUUGCUGUCUUGAAUGACUUCUGUAAUUGGAAUAUUUGAAAAAGAGACUUGACUUGGUUGGAUGGAUGAGAGUUGUGAAUCAGACUUUGUAGGAAAGAGUUCAAAAUAAGGAAAUUUUGAUUCAUUAAACUGAACAUGUCUAGCAAUGUAUGUUUUACCAGUGGAAUCCAGGCAUUUAUAUCCCUUGUGUAUAGGACUAUAGCCAAUCAUUAGGCAUUUUUGUGUAUGAAAAUUGAGUUUAUGGUUAUUGUAGGGUCUGAGAAGAGGAAAGCAAGAGCAACCAAAAGUUCUAAGGAACUUGUAAUCUGGUGGUCUACCAUGAAGUUUGGCAAAAGGAGAAACAUUAUUCAACACUGGGGUUGGCAUUCUGUUAAUAAGAAAGGAAGCUGUAUGAAAUGACUCCCACCAAAAAGAUAAAGGCAUUUUAGCUUGUGCAAGAAGUGUUAACCCAGUUUCUACAACAUGCCUAUGCUUUCUCUCAACUACACCAUUUUGAUGAUGUGUGUGAGGACAACUAUGCCUAAAAUGUAUCCCUUCUGCCUCAAGAAAUUUUUCAAAGCUUCUGUACUCCCCUCCCCAAUCAGAUUGUAAAGACUUUAGAGAGAAACCAAGUUGUUUUUCAACUAAGGUUUUGAAAUACUUGAAUGUAUCUAAAGCUUCUGACUUAAGGGUUAAUGGAAAAAUCCAGCAGUAUCUGCUGUAAUCAUCCACAAAACUAAUGUAAUAUCUAUAUCCAUGUAGAGAUGGUAUAGAUGCUGGACCCCAAAGAUCGGUAUAUACAAGUUCUAAAGGAGUUUUUGUUUUUAUGCCUGUAGAGUAGAAGGAAAGUUGAUGCAUUUUACCAUAUUGACAAGCAUCACAAAAAUCAGGAAUAGAUGCAGGAAGUGCAAGAGAGGAUAAUAUGUUUUUCAAUGCAUGUUUAUUAGGAUGACCAAAUCUUUGGUGUAACACAUUAGCAAACAUAGCUGGGUUAACAGUGCUCAAAUGACUCUGAGAAUUACUUGUUUGAGUACAAACUUUAUUCAAAGACAAACUAGAAAAGUUACAAGCUGAUUGGUUAAAAACAGAAAGCAUAGAACUAGGAUUAUGACUGGUGACACAUGAACUGGAGAGACAGUCAUCCUUAGACAGCAACUUAUACAGUCCUCCUCUAGCAAUCCCUUGAGCCAGAUGCACUCCCUUCCUCUUGUCCUUAAUAAAGCACAUAUUGGCAACAAACUCAAUGGUUAAAUUGGUAUUUUCAAGCAAUUUGGAAAUGCUUAUGAGAUUUUUAGUAAGAUGAGGUACACACAAGAUAUCUUGUAAAUGCAGAAAAGAAUCACAGGAAGUGGGGAGACAAGUAUAUCCAAUGUGUGUAAUUUUCAGACCUUGGCCAUUACCAACAUGUAGUAGCUGAUUACCUGAAUAUUCUCUUCCAAGGUUCAAGUUCUGCAGGUUGUUGGUGAGAUGAUGUGUUGCCCCACUGUCAACAUACCAACCUUGAUCAGCCAUGUCACCUUCUGAGGUUGCCAGGAAAGCAGCUCUUGGUGCUGAAUUUGGAUAGAAAGCUCUUGGUCCAGGAUUCUGAUAUGAAUUAUAGCCUGAAUAUGGAUUGUAAUAAGGCACAAAUUCUUUAUUGAACCUGUUCCUGCAUUCAGCUGCAGUAUGCUUUGGCUUAAAGCAUAUUUGACAGAUUACAGCAGCUCCAUUUGGAUCUGAAGCACCUUUUCCAUUAGUGAAGCCACCAAAGUUUCCACCAAAAUUUCCAUUAUUAGCACCAAAAUUAUUGGCAUUGUUAAAACCAAAUCCUCCUCUGCCUUGAUAAUUUCCAGACUGAGCAUUAUUAUUCCAGCCUCCAUUCCAAUUUCCUCUACCUCGGCCUUGAGAAAAACCUCUACCAAAGGCUCCUCUGCCACCAUUAUUAUUAUUGACAUUCCUAAUCCAGUUAGCAUUAUUCUGUCCUCCAAACUUAGUAUUAGUUCCAGUUUGAGCAACAUUUGCAGCAUAAGUCAAUUUAGCUUCCUUGCUAGCAUUUGACUGAUGUGCUUCUAGUCUAGCUUCAUGAGUUAAAAGCAUUGAGUAAGCUUCAUUAACAGUCAUUUUUGCUAGAUUUGCCUCGAUAUACACAACCACAGGGUAGUAUGGUUGACCUAGCCCAGAGAUAAGAUGUGUAAUAAAAUCUAGAGAGCUAACAGGGCUUCCAGCUAUAGCUAAAUCAUCAGUUAUUGUUUUCAGUUUUCCAAAAAAUUCAGUCAUAGACAUUGAACCUUUUCUAAGAUUGUUAAGCAUCAUCUUAAGAUGAACCUUUUUAGCAAAGGUUUCAGAUCCGAAUUGUUGCUCAAGACUAGUCCAAAGUUCAAGUGAAGUUUCAGAGUUUACCACAAGGCUGAGGAUCUCGAGAUUUAUAAAAGACAGCAUCCAGCUCAGCAGCAUUUGAUCCUUCCUUUUCCAAGCAGUGAACUCAGGAUUUGUUCGAGUUUCAAUUUCAGAGUUCUCAGAUUCACUUUGAAGAAAUUGAUCUGGACAUGACUUGGAGCUAUCGAAAUGAUCUUCAAGACCAUUUGCACGUACUGAAGAGAGAAUCUGAGAUUUCCAGAUUGUGUAGUUCGAUCGAUCAAGCUUAAUAGGAGAAGUGAAAGUGAAUGAAGAAACAGAGAUUGCUGUGUUUGGAUUUGAGCUUGAGAACGCCAUUUUUGCUUUUAGUUUGGCUCUGAUACCAUGUUAAAUUGUAAAGUAUUUGUUUGGUUUCUAAGAAAGUUACAGAGAGAAAAUAACAAGAGAGAAUGAAUGUGAAUCAUUUCAUUAAUCUGAAUGGUUUUACAAAGAUGUAUAUAUACAAGCAUUUCGAAUCUUCUACAUGCUGUUUAAGCUUUAGCUAACAGCAUAACAACCUUCCUCCAGCUCAGCUGCCAAGUCAGCAUUAAUAACAAACUUGAUUAAACAAAUCAACUAAGCUUAACUAACUAAACCAUCUUAACUAAUUCUAUUAUCUUAACAGUACCGUAACAAGCUCCUAUAAUUUAAGUUUGAUUACUGUAGACAAUAGUCUGCCUCUGCUCAAAAGCUAUGCUGCAAGAUACAACAUCUUUGCAAUGUUAUACUUUCUAAAAGUAAUAAGAAAUGAAACCAAGGGGUAAAUCGAACACCAAAAGAAAUUUAGUCGGCCAACCACAUUAUGUUCCCACACAAUCCACUAAUUAAGUUAAUAAUUAAAGGGAAUCAAAAUCUAAGAAAUCUCAUCUUCGAGCAGAAUACAAACACGCCGCGAUUGAAAAUCACAAAAUUAUAAAAAGAAGCUGACUUGAAAAGGGGUGGGCCGCCUCAUUUGCCCACCAACCACACUACACACACAAACACUCCAGCACACACAAGCUCUCUAGCUUUUGUAAAAAACUCUCUUGUAUAUUCUCUUUUUGUGAGUAAUAAAAUCAUAUUCAGCCAUAUUGCUCUACUUCUCUCUAGCAUUUUCCUAGAGUGUUCUUACUUCGCUAGUUUGAGGAGUGGUCUAGGCUUACUUAGCAACUUGUUUGCUACAAGGACAUCUUGGUCACAAAACAUGGACAUGCAAGGAAAAAAAAAUAUUGAUACGUUCUAAAAAUAAUACGCAUUCUUCUAUCGUGAACCAAAAAAAUUUAGGCUAAUGGUAGCAAGUGAAGGAAUUGUGAUUUCACGUGCAUUUUGUUGACAUGAAGGUAAAGAGCUUUUUUAUAGUUUAUAUUGUUUAAUAUAACAUUUGAAUUGCAAAAUAGGGGUACAAAAUAGAUACACGAAGGGAUAAAACUAAGCUGAUUAUGAUAAAUAUUGAAUUAUAAGAUUUAGGUUUAAUCAUAAAGACAUAAGUGGCCCAAGUCACGAAUUGAUAUCAUCCAUGAUGCAAGUUCAAACAACUGCAUAAUAAGUUGCCCCAAGCUAAACUAUUAAUCUAGUAACUAUUCCAGUCGAUGUUGGAUAAUUUUCCUAUCACCAUUUAUCACGUGCAAGCCGAAUUUGUUGCUUGGCUCUUACAUGUGGUAAGAUAAUAUGAAUCCACUUGUGCAUAAAUUUUGCUCCGAUAUUAUAUAGAAGCUUAUGACCCAAAAUUAUACUUAAAGGUUAUUUCAAGAUUUCAGGGUUGCCUCAAGCUAAUAUUAUUAUUAGCCUGGUAACCCUUUUUUUUUGUUGAUAUGUGAUAUUUUCCCUAUAACUUUUAUUAAUCUUUAUGCUUACGUUUUGUCAUUUAUCCCAAAAAUAUAACAUUAACAAAAGUUCCAAAAUUUCCUUCAAGAGAUAUAUUUGAGACAAGUAAUUUGUGCAAUAACUUUGUGAAUUGAUGAGCAAAUUCAGAGAAAAGAAUAUAUGUGCCAAACGUAAAGUUUAUUAUUGUGUUUAUUUGUAGAGCUAUUUAAAGCCCAGAAAAAAAAAGCACCGGUCCGCUGUGAUUUCAAAUAAGUUCAAGCCCUAUGUCAUUAUUGGUACAAAAAUGUAUCAGAAAGGUUAAAAACUAUUUUUAUUUAACUUAUAAACUUAGGAAAUUAUCAACUGCUCGCCCUUAAAUUGGGCUAUUAUAAAAAAUAUUACAAUAUUUUCAGGUUAUAUCAUUCAUCUACCAUAAAUUUAUAAUUGCAUAAUUUAUCCACCAAAUCAUUAACUUCGUUAAAAAGUGAUAGAUGUCACAAGGGUAAUUUAGACAUUUAACACACAAAAAAAAUAAAAGAGAAAUUAUCUAAGCUUACCAUGUUAUCAAAAUUGCUACAAAAUUUUAAAUUUGUUCAAUUUUUCAAUCUAAGUUUAUGACCUCCAAGAUUUUAAUUGCAAUUUGUAAUUAAUGAGUUCAUAAGGAUAAUUUAGACACUCAAUAUGCAAAAUAAAAAAAGAAAAGUAUCAUUUGUAUACCUUAAAAUUUGCGCUUUUAUAAAAAAUACUACAACACUUUAAGGGUGUAUCAAUCGUCCACCUUAAAUUGAAAAAAGUUAUCUACCGACCAUUAAACCAUUAGUUGCCGUUUGAAAGUUAACGGAACUGUAGCGAAUUGAUGAUUUUACCCUUGAAAUCUCAAAAAAAAAUCUCUUAUUAUCAAUUAUAUACCCUUAAAUUAUUACUUGUAUCUAUGAAAAGACUAUAUUACCCCUUUGACGUCAUCAUGUUUAAACGGCAACUAACGCUUUGGUGGACGACAGAUACAUUUUGUCAAUUUAGGAUGGACGAUUGAUAUACCCUGAAAGUGUUGUAGUAAAUUUGAUAACGGAGUAAACUAAGGGUAUACAAUUAAUAAUUUCCUAAUAAAAAAUAAAAUAAUGGUUUAAAACAUUAAAACAAAAAACUUGAUAUUCAAUUAAAUACACAUAAACUCUAUUUUUUCUUAAUUAAAAAUAUUCUAAUUUAUUUUCUCAAUUUAUCAUCAUAAAUUUACAUUAAUAAACUAAAUCAACAAAUUACCCUAAACCCUAAUUCAUAAAUGCCCAAUCAAUUUAAUAGUUUAAUUAGAUUUCAUAAUUAAAAAGCUAAAUUUAUUAUAUUGGUUGUGGUGCAAAGUCAAAAAUGCCCUUAAAUUCAAGGGUAAAAUAACAUUUUAUUUAAAGUCUAUAAAUUAUUCUAACAAUGUUAACAUUUUGGUGGACGGUUAAUAUAAGUUACAAACUUAAAAUAGAAAAUCAAAUAAAUUCAAAAUUUCAAACUAUUUAGGGCAAAUUUAGGAUAUAUGGUUAAUAAUUUUCCCAUGUCUUUUUACAUUGGUUGAUAUAAGUUACAAACUUAAAAUAGAAAAUCAAAUAAAUUUAUAUUUUCAAACUAUUUAGGGAAAACUUAGGGUAUAUGGUUAAUAAUUUUCCAUUGUCUUUUUACGUUAAAUUGAGUUUCAAACGUAAAAUGGUCAAUUUAUUAUAAUUCUGUUAAUUUUUUAGGGGAAGCAAACGAUAUAAUGGACGAAUGAUAUAAAUUGUAAAAUUAAGGUGUAUGAAUGAUACAACUUUAAAGUAUUAUAGUAAUUUUAAUAAUAGAACAAUUUAAGGGUGGAUUGGCAAUAAUUUAAACUUUAAUGAAGCAACUAAAAAAAUUUUUUAACAAAAGAAAAAUAAUUGAAAUGCUUUAAGAAAAAUAAAGGAAAUUAAAUAUCUUUAUAAAAACAUAAUUGAGUAAAAUCAUUUUACAAAAUACUCUUUCAAAUGCACAUUCCACAAGCCAGGGAGAACGGGUGACUAACAAAAAUCUCACUUUUUAUGAGUUUAUAAAAUCUCACUUUCGCAGAAUCAAAAAAUAAAAAUUAUUGCUGUCACGACAUUACGCACUUUCUUCGCGGUUUAGAAAGUUAGAACAUUUUGAAGUUCCUCAAUACAAAAUGCGUGCUACUACUAAAUUGGCACAAUUAAUGCCCAUCGAAAAGGCCAUCAAUUUAGCCAUCAAUUUUGUCAAAAUUUCAACAAUUGAAGAAACAAUGAUCACAAACGGAAUAGGUAAAUUUUGUAAGUUGAAUAAAUCUUGAGAUGCAUACAACAAAGCCUUGAAACUUUAUUCUUCACAAUUUGAGCACGCACUGAAUAUUAAAGAAUAUAUAUGAAAAAAAAAUCAUAAAGCUACCAAAAGGAACCACAAAAUCAUCAAUAUUAUCGUUUAAUAUGGAGAACGGCCUGCGCAUCCAAAUUGUGCGAACUGAACACGCUGAAAUGUGUGUUUUGUUUUUUGGAUUUUUGGAAUUUUUUAAAAAUCAUUUAUGCUCGCUGCCAUCUUUUUCUUCAUUGGCGUUUUCCUCUCUUGGCUGGCAUCUGCCUCGUCUGCAGUUUGCUGUAUAAUGAAUGAUGAAUAAAAUGAUAAAAAAAAAACAAACAGAGAAAAUUAUAAUAAAACACAUAUAUAUAUUGAAAGAGAAAUUUUGAUUUUAGGAUAGAUCAAUUAGCUAUCACAAACGAAAACAUGAACCAACUAUGUAUAGAGUCAAUUAAUUUAAAGUUCUCAAGAAUUACCUCUGCUCCUGAAUUCUCGGAAUCAUCUUCUCCUUAUGAAUUUCCACGAAGCUUGGGACAAUUACGAACAACAACUCUAUAGGAUGCAGAUGGAAAUGAGAUCUGAUAACCCGCAGGCCAAAUGUUGGUGAGGUUUGGUAAAUCUCUCAGUUCCAAACUCCAAAGUUCAUUCAUAACAAUUUCAUUGUAAUCCGUGACGUCUGCUCCAUCUUUAUGCCAGAAUACUUCUUCUAAUUCAUCAUUUCCUUCUAUCCAUAUGUUAUUCAGUUUUUGAAGACUUUGAGCUACGCUGAUAUGAAAUAGAUGCUUUAGUUUGCGGCACUGAACGACACUGAUUCUUGUGAGUUUUGGGAAACAUACAGGUUGGAGAUGAUCCUCAUCCUCAUCAAUGAUUUGCUCUAAUUCCCAGCAAUUGCGAAUGUAUAACUCCUUCAAUUGCAACAGAUUUCUAGCAAGUGUUGAUGAGAAGAGACGUCUCAGCAUAGUGCACCCGUACACUCUUAAAAAGGUAAGACUUUGCAGGCUAAAAUUAUGAGUGGGACCUUCAUGAUAUAAUAAUACUUGCAGUUCUGGAAGAUCUUCCAAUUGCAAUGUCUUCAAACUUGGGAAUAGUUUGUUUUCUUGUCCCUCAGCGAUAAUAGCUUCCACUUGAAAUACCACCUGUACUCCAAGUUGGCCAAUACCCAAUUCUUCCAAAUUUUUUAAUCCGUGCUUCAACAGUGCUGGAAUCGUGUCACGCAAAUGGGAGCAACUUUCCACACGUAAAGUAUUUAAGUUCUGAGACAAAUAAAUAAAUAGCUUGAUGUAAUUAAAAUUUGUUAGCAGCUAAGAUUAUCACAUGAUAAGUGAUGAACACCGCAAAAAACAAAAACAGAAAACAAAAUCCAUACAAAAAUAUCAUAAUACAUAUGUAAACUAAUAAAAUAAUUAAAAAGUAAUGGAUUUAAAAAAAAUGAAAUUAGUUAAAAGAGAUCAUGUGAAGUGAUAUAAAUGUGACAUUAGAUUGUUUUAGAAAAAUUAUUAUUCUAUUAAUUUAUAUGGCUUGAUCAGCUAAUUAAUUGAAUUUGAAUAAUAUUAUACACACUUCAGAAGUAUUUGCAUCAAUUCUUUCUAAACCAAAAUGAAAUCUGAUAAAAUAAUUAUUAUCAUUACCACAUCCACCAUCACCACCAUCAUCUCCAUAGGAUCAAAUAAUUAAUGGCUGAUCAUAAAAUUUAUUGCUAAACUAUCAUUUUGAGUAAAAUUGAAUGAAAAGAAAAAACAUGAACCCAAACAAACAUACCUUUUCAAGAUACUGCAAAUUGGCUUCAAGUUCAUUACUGUUGAUGGUCAAUUUGGGACAAUAAUAAAGUUCUAACUCUUCCAGUGCCGGCCAAGUUGAAUAAUAAUUUUCUGAACAGAAGCUGACGAGUUCUGGGAGUUCUUGAAGUGUUAAUCUUCUCAACAAGGGGAGGGCGAGCAUCGUAUUUCCACCUUCGACACUUAUUUCCCCUUCAUUGUGAUCAGACUUUGCUUCGACAAUACAUUCCAGUCUCUCGCAAUGGCUUACACAGAGACUUUUAAGCUGCUCCAAACUUCGGGCUUGUGACAACGUGAAGAUGUAUGUCAACUUGUUGCACGAAUGCACAUUCAAUUCUGUAAGAGUUUGGAGACUGAUCACAUGUUGGGCGAGUGCCUUCCAUAUCCACUUCAGUUCUGGUAAGCCCCACAUAGAUAACUUCGCUAAUCUUGAGAGACUCUUUCCAUGCGGCGACUUAGAGGCAUCCAUUAUGCAUUCUAAAUCUUCGCAAUCGCGGACAACAAGACAAGUCAACUCAUUUAAGCCCCUUUCAUCUAUGCUUGGCACAAUAUUGUAACAACCAAUAAUCCCAUUUAAAAAAAGAAUUUCCAGUUCUUGAUACAAAGCCGAAAAAAUACCGAGCGAGGUCGCUUCAGGAGGGUAGUUACAAAUCAUUAAGAUCCUUGCCUUACCAUCACGUUCCCUUUCAACAUAAACUCCAACUUUAUAGAUGACGUACCUUUGCAAUUUCGGGAAUGUAAAGUCUUUUGGAAGACAUACAACAGAUCCGUCGACUUGGGAGUUCAACUCAGCAAGCCUAGCAUUACUUUCUUUUGAACUCAUCCCUUCAACCUCCCAAUUUUUUAUCGGACCAUAAAAUUCUUCUAAUUCAGGAAAUUUUUUUAUCGUAAUAGGAGAAACAGAACUGAUAUCAAUAUAUAGAAGUUUCAAUCUACGAAGUUCAUCCGACAAUUCUUCAGGAAUUUCAAUGGGAGAAUCCUCGAGAAAAAGAAUUUGAAGCCUCUUCAACUUUCCAAGGAAAGAUGCUUCACUCACCUUACAUCGAAUCAACUGCAGAACCUGGAGGUUGGUGAGUCUCUGAAGCGAUUUAAGUGAAAGAACUCCACCUAUUAUAGUGACAACUUUCAAUGCUGGCAUCCCUUUAAAAAAAUGUUCUGGAAUUUGCAAUUCGUAAUUAUAUACGGUGUUCUCCAAUCGCAGAAUAUGAAGGUUAGGGCAUACCAAACUACUAGGAAGCUCUUCUUCUUUAUUUCCCAUUACAGAGAUUCCUUUGCACUGUUCCAGGCCUUUUUCCACCGCCCGUUCCAGCAAUCUGAUGCCAUUUAUACUAAACAAUCUCUCUUCCUUCUCCUUCUUCUCUGUGCUUAUCCAUAUGGCUACAUCACGAACUAUGUCAUGCAUUUUCACAGAUCUGUCAUUACCAGUGUCUAACAGCAGUGAAGCAGCUUUGAGUCCGUCAAUUGUUCCAUGCAGUAGGCUUCUGGUGUUCUCUAUUGACUCAACUUGAUACCAAGUCAACCCUACUGCAUAUCCAACCAAAUCCUCCAAAUUAAUCUCAUAAUCUUCUGGAAACAGCGAACACAACAAGAAGCAUAACUUGGAAUUGUCAUCAUUCAAAUUGUCGUAACUAAAUUUGAGACAACCGUAAACGUCUAGGUUCUUCUCAUCAAUACCUUCUAUUGCAUAGAGUUUUGCAGCCUUUAGGUUAUGUAGAGCCAGGUUCCAUUCAUUAAAUCCUUUUCCUCUUAGUGCACUUCCAACAGCUUUAAUAGCUAAAGGCAGCUCGUUACAUUCUCCAGCAACUUCUUUGGAAACAUCAUUCAAGGUGGAGUCAUUUUCAUCAAUGCCGGCAUUUUUUCGCAGUAAAGCCAAUCCUUCUUCUGGCGUUAGUGUACUAAGUUGAAUCUGUGUGUCACAACCCAAAGAAUCACAAACUGACUUUUUGCGAGUGGUUAGAAGGAUUUUGCAACAAUUAUCUCUACCACCAACGGGAAUACCUAAUUUUUUCUCCAAGUCGAGUUGUUUCCAAACAUCAUCAAGGAUUACGAGGAUUUUGCUGCUUUUACUCUCAGAAAACAUCAAGCGCAAUCGGUCUGCUCUCUCUUUUUCAUCUUUCUCAUUUAGUGCCCAGCCUAACGACUUUGCUAGCUCACCUUGAACCUUUAUUAUAUCUGGAUCCUGAGACACAGUGGCUAUCCCCACCUUAUCAAAAAUCUUUUGUUGCCGAAGUUGAUUGCCCAGAGAUUUUGCCAAGGUCGUCUUUCCUACACCGCCGAGACCGUGCAAUCCCACCAUCUUUGUGCUCUCUUUUUUCAGUGCUUCAGUGAUCUGAUUACAAGCCGAUUCUGUAGUCUUGAAAGAAGAAAAAAAUUUCGGUAUAGGCAAUUCUUCGUCUGGUGGUAGAGGUUUAGGACGGGCAACUGUGCUGAAUUUGCCGCAUUUCUUUUGUAGUUCGGACAACUUGCUACUCUUCUUUGAUACUUUUCUACCCAGCCAGUAUCGCCAACCCCAAUUAGGACACCAUCCAUUAAGACAACUCUUCUUUUCAUCUAUCUUUUCUUUCAAAUUUCGAACGUCGGCCAUUUCUUUGUCUACAUCCUCAAGCCAUGUCUCGACAUCUUUCUCGAUUACAAUGGCUCGGUGGAUUUGUCGCUUUUGUUCUACUUUUUCAUUGAUGCCAUCUUUUGCCUCCUUCAAAUUAGUUUCUUCAUCCUCAAGUUCUUUAAUAACACUGUUGAAACAGAGCAGAUAACGAGCUUGGUUUAUGGUUGCAUCCACCAACAACUCUCCAAGCCUUGAUGCAACACCUGACAAAAGUUCCAUGCUAUUUAUCUGCAAUUAAUAAAGUUGAUCUCAGUAAGCUAUAAGCAAAACAAUGAGGCUUGAUCACAAGAUCGAACGAGAAAGUUUGAUUACCUUUUUCUAUUCUGUGAAUGCACGUUUAUUGACACUAGCUUUGACCAGUAAGAGCACAAUGCAAACGUCGAGCUUUAAGUGGUCUUUAGCUGCAAAACAAAAGAGAGGAAAUAAGUUAAUUUAUUAUUAUUAUUAUUUUUAAGGACAGAUAAAGGUUAGCUAGCUUGCAGACAAAUUUACUGAAAUCAAGACAAACCUAAGAGUUUUCCUAAUUUGUUCAAACAUGGAACAAGUGUUUCACAGGAGUAUAUCCAUAAAGGCCCCAGCGAACGUAAUAUGUGCUGGACUAUAUUGAAAUUAGAUUAUUUUAGAAAAUUUUAAAUAAAAAAUAUCAAACAACAAAGAAAUCUAAUAGAAUCUGGAUAAACAGCAUGGGAGAAUAUGGUAAAAUUGAUUAACUUGGUUCAAAAAUUACAAUUCUUUUUGAGAUUUGAACCGACGAUUUUGAUUAAGGUCUCCUAAGCCACAAAGCAUAACUCUUACUACUAAAUUACACGCAUUUUGUUACAUUUAAAUGUGGUCAUAUUCUUUUUAUUAUCUUUUUUUAGAAGGGACUCAUGGUAUACUUAAAAGAAAUAAUAAUGAUUUAGAUGGGGCUGAAGCCCACUCAUGAAAAAAUUUAAAGGUUUUCAAGAUAAUUACCGAUUUUUUUCCACCCAAUAUUCUAAUAGAAUGGUGCCAGAAUUCUCAAAUAAUAUCUUAAUAUUAUUAAACUAGUUGGCACCCACCUAUUGGAUGAUUAAUUUAAUAAUUUGGUAAAUUAUCUAAUACUCCAUCUCACUAUCUAAUGAUGUAAAUGGUGGAGAAGGAUCGUCUCCUAGACUUUUUUUCUCUCACUAAACUCUUAGUGAAAUAAGUGGCCAAAAUUGAAUUUUAAUUUUUGAUAUUGACAAUCAAAUUGGCUUGUUUCACAUUAUUAACAAUUAAGUCAACUUUUUUUUCUCAUUUUUUCAAUUAGAUUUGGAAGGCUAUAAGAGAGUAGGAGAGAAAAAACACUAGAAGGAGAUCUUAAUCCAUAAAUAAUAUCUUAUUUGGGAUGGUAAAGAUUGAGAUAAAUUUCCUCAUAGUCUCUAAAGUUUUGGCCUAUGCGCAGCCAUAAUUUUAGUAUUUUUAAAAAGAAUGGGAUUAUUUACAUUCUAAAAUCUAUUUUGAAUACUUUUUCACUCAACACACUCAUUCAAUAAAUAAAUUUUAAAAAAUAAUUUUUACUUUACACACUAUUUCAAGUGUCAAAACUAUCCUUCAUUAGGACCAUUUCAUUAACUAAUUAUUUUCUAUUGACACCCAUAAAAUAUUCAUCAUUCUUGAACCAUGCGGCGUUAAUUAAUGAUUCCGAAGCAUUAUCAAGAUUCAAGAUUUGUGUUGAAAUUCUUUCAUCUGACAUUUGAACCAAGCCACUAGCUAUAUACAUAUAUACUUUCAAAUGCAGCUCGGGGAAUAUUUUGUGAAACAAUAAAGAGUACGUGGCUUGCUCAUUUCCAAAUCAAGUUCGGGGAAAAAACAGAGCAUUUUUCUUUUAUAAUGGAUUAGGUUAGACGAUGAAGGGAAAAUUAUUAGCGAUUGUUAGUACUUUUGUGUGUGUUAAGAGUAAUAAUAUUAUUUUAAAUUAUAUUAAUGCCUUUGGUAGUGAAUUCAAUUAGGGUUAUUUUAGUAAUAUAAAUUUUCAUUAAAAUUAAAGUGUCCAAAUUAUGAUUUAGAUUUUUUAAAUGUAAAAUAAUAUUUUUUUUAUCUGAUAUAAAUUAAAAUUCAAACAAAUGAAAAGUAAAGAAUAUUAAUUAGCUUUUAAUAGAAACAAAUAUAAAUAGAUGUUUUGAGUAGUUAAUUUUUGUUAUUUUAUGCUAUUGGUAGUUUGUGGAUUAAAUAAUUUGUAUAAGGAUAAAUGGGGGUUUGUAUAAUUUAUACAAAGAUAAUCUCCAAAAUAAGGUUAUCUGUCGAAUUUAAAAGUGUUAUAUAAGUAGUAAUCGUAUAUGCAUCAAAAUUUUUAAUAAAAUUUAUUUAGAAAUUGGCCAAUUGGGUUUUAUGAAGAAAAUAGAGGGGCAAGUAAUUAUGUAACAAGUAAUUUGUAGGUUGUGGUACUUCUCCAUACUUUAAAUCACUUUUAUCUAAUCAAUUGAUAAAUAUUUUUUGGGCACCAACAAAAUGAAAAGAAAAAGUUAAAAAUAAUUCUGAAAUUAAAAACGUUAGGUACUGCCUAUAAGCUAUACAAUUUUACCUUUUCUUCUAUCACAAUUAGUAUUAGAAAUAAAAAUAGUUUCAAAAUAAAUGUAAUUAGGAGGUAAUAUUAUCUCAACAAUACCUUAUAGGGAAAAAGACAUCUACAUCCUAAAGUUUGGAGAAAUGGUAGUAAAGACCCUAGGUUUUCAGAAAGGGAUAUCAAGACCCUUUUUUGACCGUAAUACCCUUUAAAUCUAGUAAUUAGAAAAUUGACUUUAAGAUUUUUUAAUUGACAAAUUUAAUAUAAAUAAUAUAAUCUAUCUAGUAGAUUAAUAAUAUUAACAAUAAAAAAAUAUUAAAAUUUAAAUUCUUAUAUUUAUUUUAAUAAUAUAUUUUUAUUUAUUAUAAAGAUUUUAAAUAAAUCCUUGGGUUAGAUAGGUUUUCCAGUUAACAAAAUAUACCCCUAUUAAUAAUAUUGAAAUUACUUUCUACGUAAUAUUUAAAAUAAUUAUAAUUUAUUUAUUUUAAUAUUAUGUUUCUAUUUAUUAUUAAAAAUUACUUUAUUAGAGUAAUUUUUAUUAAUUAAAGCUUUAAAAUCAAUUUUCUAAUUACUAAAUUAAAAGGGUAUUAUGGUCAAAAGGGGUCUUUCCUUUUUGAAAACUUAGGGUUUUUGCGACCAUCUCCCCAAACUUUGGAGUAUAGGUGUCCUUUUCCCGACUUCAUAUAAAGAUAUUCCAUAAGGUCUUAUAAUAACUUAUAUUAUAUGAAUUUAAUUAAAAGAUCAUUAAUACUUAAAUAAUAAUUAUUAUUAUAGAAGACAUUGUAAUAAAUUAUUUGAUAUAUAUUAUUAAUGAUACUAUAUAUAUGUGUAUAUAACUACAUGAUGGCUUGGAUAUAUAUUGUUAGUGGUAAUAAAUUUUAAAAAAAAUUAAACUAAUGAUUUCAUGUAAUUCAAUGGUGGAUGAUUUAAAAUAAUAAAAUAUUGUUUUGACUUUCAAUAUCAACCGUUAGACUGUGAGAAAUUAAUUGCUCAAUGUUUUGUGUUAAAUUUUUAAAUUAAAAUAUCCUAAACCAUUUGUUUUACUUAAAAUACAAAAAAUAUAUAAAGAAAAUUUCUCAUUAAUUUUUAUAUUUUUAUCAUUAAAGUAAUGACUCUUAGUAAUAUAAAAUUUUAUAAUUAGUUAAUUGCAAUCAAAUGAUAUCAAUAAAAUAAUAUUUCAUGAUUCAUAAAUUAAAGCUAAUUAAGAAUAUAUAUUAGUUUUAACUUUUAUGAAAUCAACUAAGUGAUAUUAGAAAAUAAAAUAAAAAUAAACUAGUGAAACUUAAAUUUUAUAAGGUUUGAAUAAUUUUCUACCAUGUAAGAAUAUUAAUUGUGACAUAAACCAUAGUUUCAUGGUAUAUGUAUGCCGAAUGGGGUAACAAAUAAUAUAUACUUCACGAUCAUGAUAGUAUAUAAAGUAGUGGAUAUUUUAAUAAAUAACAUAAAAUUCUUAAGACAUAGGUGGUCAGUUAUGUAUAUUUUGGGACAUAGACAAUCUCAAUCAAGAGUUUAUUGAUGUGAAUAGAUGGCUUUCACUUAAAUGUAUGCACUUAAUUGUGUUGUUUAUUGGUAUUAGAUAUUCACUUAAAUGUAUAUACUUAAUUGUGUUGUUUAUUGGUAUUACAUGUAACAAAAUUUUAUAUUAAAUUUUAAAGUUUUAUAUUGUUGUUUCUAUUGAAUUUAUAAAUACAAUAAAAUUAUGGCCAUCAACAAUCACAACCAACUGCCACCAACAAUUAGAUUCUCAUAUCCGUUGACGACAAUUUUUUAUACUAUUGGAACUCCAAUCUUUGAAGCUACACAAUAGUUAAAGUGUACCGACAUCAAUAGAACUUCCGUUCAUUGUAGAUCUAUAGUCAAAGUUUCGAAUCUUAAAAAUUUGACAGCAGAUUUAUGUCAAAUGAAAGCUUGUUACCAGUAAUUCUUAUACAAUUAUGUUGUUAUAGUAAUAAGGAUUCUAAUGGUACUAAAAUGCACUCCAUUAGACAAAAAGAUCCGACGACUAGUGGCGACAAUAACUAUCAUUAGUGACUUGGAGGUAAUUGCCGUUAAUAAAUUAUUUUUAACUUAAUAAUUAAUACAAACAAAUAAAAAAGUAAUUUAAGGAAAAUUAAUGUAAUAAAUAAUUGAAUUAAAAAAAAAUAAAACCUAAAUUCUCGACCAUUUAUCCGUAUGUUUCGAAUCCAACGUUCAAAAUUGGAAUAAAACAUAGUAUAGCCAUUGGAAGUAAAACAAACAUUAAAGAGACUAGGAAAAAAUAUCUCAUACCUUCUAUAAUGAUACAUCCUCAAUCACUGCAGAAAGCUCCAAUUAAAAAGUCGCACAAGUUCGGAGAAAAUUACCUAACAACACAAAUAAACAUCAAAUCAAAGCAACAUAGGAUCCAGCUAACUAACAUCAUAAGUAAGUCCUUGUUCUCAGUCAAAUCUUGCAUUCUUAGGAUAAAAAAAAAAAAAAUUGAAAGAAUAACGGUAACUGGAAAGUUUGACGACAUAAAGAUCUAGCUAAAUUUUAAGAAGCAAAAGUAAAUAAUGAAAGCUCAAUAAAAGAUCAUCAGCAUUAACAUACCGAAAUGAGAGCAGCUCACAGAACUGGUAAUUUCCAAGAACAGGAAAAAUAAGUGAGCUGAUAUUGAGGACAACUAAAGUAGUCAUGGAGUAAUUUGCUAUUGAGGACACCUAAAAUAAGAAAAUUAAUUAACAUUGCUCUAUACACCAUUUCAAUAAUUUGACUAUUAAAAAAAAAUCCUAUCUAGAUCACGAUUUCUCAAAAUGAUGCUUUUUCUAAUUAAAUAAAUCAAAAUGCUUGCUUCUUUCUUUUUCAAAAAUUGGCAAUGGCAUCAAUUUUUUGCUAGAUUAUUAUCACCAAAAGCACAAGCAAGGAAUCAGAAUACUCUCUGAAACCAACCAUGUAAAGAGUAGAAGUAAGUGGUCAAUUGUAAAUUAGUCUUUCUUUUUUCUUUGUUAUUUUUUCAUUUUUUGAAUGUGAACUAAAUAAAUUUAAGGGUGAAGCUAUUACAUCUUGAAAACUAUAACUGAACACCCAUUUUUUAAAUUAAUUUUUUAUUACUAAAAUAACCAUGGAGUAAUUUGCUACUAAGGAAAACUAGAAUAAUAAAAUGAAUAAUGAUUGCUCUAUACACCCUUUUCUAAGUCUAUCGUCUUCUUAAUUGUUAGGAAAUUGGUGGGUGAAGCAGACACGCAGCUAAAGUAAAAUUGAUAGAAAAAUAAAGAACAAGCACAAAAGAGAAUACCAGAAAUUACGUGGUUCGGCUUUUAGCCUACGUCCACGGGCGAAGACAGAAAGAAAUAUUAUACUAGUGAAAAGGAGUUACAAGUAUUGUAGUAUUUUAGCUCACUACCCAAAACCCCAAUACACCCAAACUCUCAAAUCACUAAGCACACAAAAUUAUUUUCUCUUGCAAGAAUUACUUCUCUCAACUCUCAACUCUCUCUACAAAAAAUUGCCUCUUCAAGAUUGGAAUGAAAAAUGAGGGUGGGAAGCCCUCUUUAUAUAGCCAAAAUUUUGGCUCUUUUUUUUUUUUUUUUUUUUUUUUUAUUGGAGUCAUUCAACACGGCACCACCAACAAUGGCGGGCCGUGUUGAAUGUUGAAUGGUUGGCACCGGCCAUCUAGAUGGCCGGCGCCAGCCAUGACUUUCAACAUUCUCCCACUUGGAGAUUUGAUUGAGGACCAAUCAAUCUCCACACCAUCCUUUCUGCUUCGCCAUAGUCAUGUUGCCUACGUUGCUGCUAGGCCACAGGAGGAUCUACUCCAGACAAACUUAUCAGUAUUUAUCGGCUUGGUCAAAACAUCUGCUAGGUUCUCCUUCGUAUGGAUUUUCUGUAAAUCCACACUUCCAUCUUCCACUACUUCUCGAACGAAGUGAUACUGAACUCCUAUGUGCUUUGUCCUGGAAUGAAAAGCUGGAUUCCUUGCAAUGUGCAAGGCACUCUGACUGUCACAAAACACAGGAAUUUUCUGUUGUUUGUGCCCGAGCUCCUCCAAUAAUCUUUGUAUCCAGAUAGCUUCCUUGCAAGCUUGUGUAGCUGCCAUGUAUUCUGCUUCUGUUGUAGAUAAAGCCACAACGGUCUGCAGUUUCGAAACCCAGCUUACAGCUGCUCCCGCAAGUGUAAACACAUAACCAGUAGUGGAUUUCCUUUUAUCAAGAUCUCCUGCAAAAUCUGAAUCCACAUAGCCCCUGACAGUAAAUUCUGAUCCUCCAUAACAUAAUGCAACAUCUGAGGUUCCUCUGAUGUAUCUCAGAAUCCUCUUCACAGCUAUCCAAUGCUCUCCGCCAGGAUUCGCCAUGUAUCGACUGACUGCUCCCACUGCUUGUGCAAUGUCCGGUCUUGUACAUAUCAUAGCGAACAUCAAACUUCCCACUGCUGAUGCAUACGCUACUCGAGACAUCUCCUUCCUCUCUGCUUCAUUGCUAGGACACAUACUUGAGGAUAAUUUGAAAUUAACAGGAAGUGGGGUAGAAAUUGACUUACAAUCUUGCAUGUUGAAGCGCCGUAAGAUUUUCUUCAAAUAAUUCUUCUGUGAGAGCCAAAUCUUCCUGUUAUUUCUGUCUCGGUGAAUUUGCAUCCCUAGAAUCUUGUUUGCUGGUCCCAAGUCCUUCAUUUCAAACUCCCUAGCCAACUGUGCCUUCAAUUCUUGGAUUCGAUCUUUGUUGGGAUCUGCUACCAACAUGUCAUCCACAUACAACAGUAAAAUGAUGAAAUCAUUAUCUUCAAACCUCUUGUAAUAUGUACAAUGAUCUGAACUGAGUCUGUUGUAUCCAAGGCUCAUGAUGAAGGAAUCAAAUCUCUUAUACCAACACCUCGGCGCCUGUUUGAGACCGUAUAGAGAUUUGUUCAACCUGCAAACCAAGUUCUCCUUUCCUUUUUCUGCAAAACCUUCUGGUUGGAGCAUAUAAAUUUCUUCUUCAAGUUCUCCAUGAAGAAAUGCAGUUUUAACAUCUAACUGCUCUAGAUGUAGGUCAAAUGUAGCACACAUUGCCAAGACUAUUCUGACUGUUGUGAGUCGAACCACCGGAGAAAAUAUCUCGUUGAAGUCAAUACCUUCUUUCUGAGCAUAUCCUUUCACUACCAGUCUUGCACGAUACCGCUCCACUUGGUCAUUGCCAUCACGUUUGAUCUUGUAGACCCAUUUGUUUCCAAUGGCUUUUCUUCCACGUGGUAGUGGUACAAGUUCCCAUGUCUUGUUCUUGUGUAGAGCUUCAAUUUCUUCCUGCAUUGCUGUCAUCCAUAAAGCAACAUCUGAGCUGUUUAAAGCUUCAUGGAAAGUUGAAGGCUCUCCAUCCUCUGUUAGAAGACAGUAUGCAACGUUGAUCUCUGUGACAUACUCCGAGUGCCACGUUGGCGGUCGUCUCUCACGAGUUGACCGACGAACUUCUGGAGCCUCGGACUCAACUGGUUCUUGUUCCUCGUGCUCUGAUGCUACUUCAGAAGAAUCUGAAUCUUCUGGAUUAUUUUCGACAUAUACCGGCACAGUCUCUGACUUUUCUUUUACAGUGCCAUCAUCUUCAUCUUUUCUUUGCAGUUGAUCUUCUACAAAAAUAACAUCUCUGCUGAUGACGAUCUUGUGGGCAGUGGGGUCCCACAGACGAUACCCCUUUACUCCAUCAGCAUACCCCAAGAAGAUACAUCUUCUAGAUUUUGCAUCCAGCUUUGUUCUUUCUUGGGCAUUGUACAUCACGUACACAGGACAUCCAAAUGCAUGUAGGUAUGAAUAAUCAGCUGGCUUUCCAGUCCACAUCUCCAUCGCUGUCUUCAACCCAAUAGCUGUAGAUGGCGACCGAUUUACUAUAUAACAGGCAGUUUUGGCUGCUUCUGCCCAGAAUGAAUUGGGUAGACCAGCAGUCCUCAACAUAGCUCUUAUUCUUUCUGUAAGAGUUCUGUUCAUCCGUUCUGCCACUCCAUUUUGUUGAGGAGUGUAUGCCACCGUGAACUGUCUCUGAAUACCUUCUUGCUUACAGAAAGUAAGAAACUCGCCGUCUGUAUAUUCUCCACCAUUAUCUGUCCUCAAGCACUUGAUCUUUUUACCAGAUUCAAGUUCCACCCGCGCUUUGUAUUCUUUAAACACUGGAAAUACAUCUGACUUUUUCUUAAUUGGAUACACCCAACAUCUUCUGGAAUAAUCAUCAAUGAAAGUCACCAUGUACUUUGCACCUCCCAUGGAUAUAUCCGGUGAUUCCCAGACAUCAGAAUAAAUCAAGUCUAGAAUAUAUUUACUUCUAGCAAUAGAUCUACUGAAUUUUAAUCUAUGCUGCUUACUUGUAACACAAUGCUCGCAAAAUGGUAAACUUACCGAUUUGAGCCCCGGAAGCAAUUUUCGCUCAGAGAGAAUCUUCAAGCCUUGUUCUGACAUGUGGCCGAGUUUGAGAUGCCACAUCAUCGUUGAUUCUUCUCCAUUUGACGCGACACACGCAUCAGCCUCCUGUAGUGUUUCUCCUUUAAGCAUGAAUAAAUUAGCACCAAUCUUUUCUGCCUUCAUCAAUACAAGCGCGUAUUUAAUGAUCUUCAUUAUUCCAUUCUCCACAUGAGUUUUGUACCCAUGACUAUCCAUUUGUCCCAAAGACAAUAGAUUUUUCUUCAGGCCAUUGACAUGUCUUACCUCUCCAAUUGUGCGAAUUGUACCAUCAAACAUUUUUAUUUUGAUAGUACCAAUACCAGCGAUCUCCAAGGCAUGAUCGUUACCCAUAUAUACAGAUCCUCCUGAGAUAGGUUCAUAUGUGUGGAACCAUUCUCUCCUAGAGGUCAUGUGCCAGGUAGCUCCCGAGUCUAUAAGCCAGACAUCAGAAAGUCGUUUUCUGCCUUCUGAAACAGUUGUUGCCUCACUGUAGAGAAUUUCGCCAUCAUCCGAGGUACUUGCUACACACCCCUGAGCAUUUGAUGACUCAGGUUCUUUGCCCUCUCUUUUCUUCUGGUUACUCCAACACUCCUUUUUGACGUGCCCUUUCUUGCCACAUUUGUAGCAUUUAACAUUCUUCUUACUUCUGGAUUUUGAUCUACCCUGAUUUUGACUCCCACUGGGGCCACGUUCCGUUGAUUUCCCUCUCGUCACUGAUAGCGCCUCCGCUUGCUGCGAACUUGCUUGUCUGUUUUCCUUAUUUUUCCGUCUGCUCUCCUCAUUUAAUACGGAGGCUGCAACAUCGUCGAAAACUAGACUCUCCACUGGAUUGUUGUUCGUCAGGUUGAUGAUGAGUUGAUCAUAUGAAUCUGGUAGACUUUGAAGUAGAAGCUCUGCACGUUCAUUUUCCUCUAUAUUAUGACCCAACGUUGUGAGUUGUGAAAAUAGAGUCUUCAAUGUGUUGAUGUGGUCGGUCACCAUUGUAGAUUCCGUCAUUCGAAGAGUAUAGAGUUUUCUCUUCAAGAAGAUUUUAUUGUGUAGUGACUUGGCCUCAUACAAUUUUGUGAGAGUAUCCCAUAUUUCCUUCGCUGUGUUUUUCUCUGCCACACUGGAUAAUACUCCAUCCGCAAGUGCCAAGUGUAGAUCAGAAAUGGCAUUGCCGUCUACCUCGUUCCACUUGUCAUCAGUUAUCUCCAUGGGCCUUUCUCCAAUUGCUGCCAAGCAAUUAUUUUUCCUCAAUACAGCUUUCAUCUUCAUUUUCCACAACGAAAAAUUAUUUCCGUUAAAUUUCUCAAUUUCAUACUUUGCCGCCAUUUUAUUGAUAAAUACUGUACACAAGCUAGUGUACCACCUUGAAUAGUUGUGAGUAUGUGUGAGAAUGCACACCAGGAAAGUUCCCAGGAAAGACUGGAGGGGUCACAAUGGUCCCACUUAAAACCCAGACUCCUUAAGCUCUUAUCGCCUUUGUGACAGAACUUUCCUAGACAUGUACAGAAUCACACAGUUGCUUUACUCACACCACUAUUCCCUGCUUUGCACCGUAAAAUUCUUGGAUCGCUUCCACCGUUUCACGUGAAUAGUACCGUAUACAUGAAUAGUGCCGUACACCGUAUACGUGAAUAGUGCCGUACGCCGUAUACGUGAAUAGUGCCGUACACCGUAUACGUGAAUAGUGCCGUAAGCCGUAUACGUGAAUAGUAUCGUAUGCCGUAUACGUGAAUAGUGCCGUACGCCGUAUACGUGAAUAGUGCCGUACACCGUAUACGUGAAUAGUGCCGUACGCCGUAUACGUGAAUACGUGAACAAUUCCUGACUCCAAAAAUACAACCAAUAGCUCUGAUACCACUGUUAGGAAAUUGGUGGGUGAAGCAGACACGCAGCUAAAGUAAAAUUGAUAGAAAAAUAAAGAACAAGCACAAAAGAGAAUACCAGAAAUUACGUGGUUCGGCUUUUAGCCUACGUCCACGGGCGAAGACAGAAAGAAAUAUUAUACUAGUGAAAAGGAGUUACAAGUAUUGUAGUAUUUUAGCUCACUACCCAAAACCCCAAUACACCCAAACUCUCAAAUCACUAAGCACACAAAAUUAUUUUCUCUUGCAAGAAUUACUUCUCUCAACUCUCAACUCUCUCUACAAAAAAUUGCCUCUUCAAGAUUGGAAUGAAAAAUGAGGGUGGGAAGCCCUCUUUAUAUAGCCAAAAUUUUGGCUCUUUUUUUUUUUUUUUUUUUAUUGGAGUCAUUCAACACGGCACCACCAACAAUGGCGGGCCGUGUUGAAUGUUGAAUGGUUGGCACCGGCCAUCUAGAUGGCCGGCGCCAGCCAUGACUUUCAACAUUAAUUUCAUAAUUUGGCUGUCAAAAAGUAAUCUAUCUAGAUCACGAUUUCUCAAAAUGAUGCUUUUUCUAUCUAAAUAAAUGAAAAUGCUUGUUUCUUUCUUUCUCGAAAAGAAAAAGUGGCAAUGGCAUCAAUUUUUGCUUGCAAGCACAGCGAGGAAUCAGUAUACUCUCGGAAACUAACCAUAUUAAGAGUAGAAAUAUUUAUUUGGUUAUCAUGAAGUAAGUUAGAAAUCAAUUAUAAAUGGUCUUUUUUUUAUUUUUUAAUGUGAACUAUAUAAAUUUAAGGUGAGGUUAUUUACACUUUGAAAAACAUUCUGAAAACCAUUAUUUCAUUAAAUUUUUUAUUACUAAAGGUCCGUUUGUGGCAGCUACGCUGUGGCAGCGCAGCUGUCCCACACGCUCUCUAAAAUAGCCAUGGAGUAAUUUCUUACUGAGGAUAACUAGAAUAAUAAAAUCAAUUAUCAUUCUUCCUUGAACCCGUUUCUAGAUGUAUCUUCUUCUUGAUUUGGUAACUUGGCUGUCAAAAAGAAAUCUAUCUAGAUCACGAUUCCUCAAAAUGAUGCUUUUUCGGAUGAAAUAAAUGAAAUUGAACCUACAAUCUGCCACAAACACGUUAUAAUGAGCCUAAUGAAAAGCAGUAUGAGAAAUUUUGCUUCCUUGUUGUUUCUUCCAUAUGUAACGGUAGGAAAAAGAAAUUUAAGUCCUAGAAACAAAUGGAUGAAGAAUUAUCAAUAAUUAAAAUUAAAAAAAAAACAGAGUUAUAAAAGAAUCACAGUUCCACCAAAAAUUAAGAGUUAUUUUAUUUGGUGGUUUCCUAUCCCGAAAGCAUUACUUGUAAAUAUGUGCUAACAAGUAAUAAUUAAGAAAGUUAAAGCCAAUCAUUUAGAAUGGAGAAAAAUGGAAACAUCCGGAAUAUUGUUAUGUGUUUUCAGUGCGUAUCUACCAAUCAAUAAUGAAAAAUUAAAUACGCAUGUUACGAAAAUUUAAUAAAGAGAACUGGAGUGACAAAAUUUUUAUUAUUCUAUCUUCUCUCCUCUGAAACUUCCUUAAUUUGGUUGGGAGUGCUUUGUCUUAGGCAGUGGAUCUGUUAUAAAUUCCCUAUGCUAAAGUUAAUAUUUUGAUUGAAGAAAAAAAUAGAGGAGAAAAUUUUUAUUAAAGUAUAACAGAAUUUGGUAAAUUUAGAAUUGAGGAGAGAAAAUGAGUCUAAAUUCGAAAAUUUUGGCACUAAUUACAUAUCAUUAUUUGGGCAUAAAUUCAUUUCUCUGCUUUCAUAUGAUUUGGUCUUUCAUUGUUACGGUGCCAAAUUUUUAUUUAAAGAUGUAAGAUAGUGGUACUAUAGCUUAGAUUUUCCGUAAUUACUAUAUGGUAAGUACAAAAUAAAAUACCAGUUUAAAAUAUAAAAAUGAAAAACUAUUUUUAUAACCAAUAUUCAAUUAAAUACAUUUGAAACUCUAUUUUUUCUUAAUAAAAAAAAUUCUAAUUUAUUUUCUCAAUUUAUCUAAACAACUUUACCUAAUCAAGCUAAAUCUACAUAUUACCCUAAACCUUAAUUCAUAAACACCCAAUCAAUCCAAUUGUUAAAUCCGAUUUCAUAAUUAAAAAAGCUAAAUUCUAUUUUAUUAUUUAUGGUGCAAACUAAAAAAUGCCCUUGAAGUUAAGGGUAAAAUUGAUAUUUUAUUUAAAUUUUAUUAAUAUUCUAAUAAUGUUAAUGUCUUAGUGGUUAAUAAAAUCACAAAGUCAAACUUUUGUAGUAUUUUUUAUAAUAAGGUAAAGAUAUAUGUUUGAUAAUUUUCCUACGUCUUUUUACGUUAAAUUGAGUCUCAAGGGAAAAAUGGUUAAUUUGCUACAAUUCUGUCAGUUUUCUGAUGGAAGAUAAUUUUGAAACGUAGAAUGAAAGAAUAAGUCAAAACUAGAAUCAAACGUAGAAUUUGAAAUCCAUACGAACUCUAACGUAUUAGAAUGAAAGAAUAAGGACGAUCGAUGAACUAGACUCAAACAAAAACAUGCCCAGUUAAAAACCGAAGGUAAAUAAAUAAAAAUGGUAUAAAAUUGCGAACAAAAUUAAUGAAAUGAAGAGAAAAUCACAGGAAUCCUAUGAAGAGGAAGGUAAACGAAACCUUGGGGAGCCGAGAAGAUGCCUUUUUUGUUGACGUUUGUGCCUAUACAUACAUUUUUUUUUUUAAUUUUGAAGAAAGUAUUGGUUAACAGAACGAACUAUUGAUAAUAGAUGCUGGCAAUUUCAACAAGGACAAUCUUCGAUUCAAAUGUACCCCUAUGAUAAAGAAAAAGCCAACUUGGCUAAAUUUUGAGCUCCACAUUACAAGAUCUAGGUGUAUGUUUAACUAUGCAAAAUGAAACAUCUAUUAAUUGUAAGUCCCUUGACCUCUGGAACCAGACAACUAGUCUCUUUCCUACUAGACAACCUUCCAUCGAUCAGACUAAUAAUAUUUACUAAAUCAUGUUCUACAGUUAAUGAAGUUGGACCCAAGGCAAUGUCGCAGGCCGCUCAAAUUUCCUGUAAUUGGAGGAUAAUUAUGUGCACAUGAGUUUGCUUAGCAAAAAUCCGUCUAGGCGUGGAGUGCGCUUAAAAGCGGGAUGCACUUAGAAGUGGGAUGCGCUUAGCAAAUCAUUCAAGCCCGACCCAAGAUCUAGAACUCUCUGCAAAUUAUAAAUAAGCUAAAAGUUUCUAUGUUUCUCCACAUAGUUCCCUAGGAUAUUUAUGGAAGUUGCUAGGAAGUUUCCUCCCCAAGAACUCUAAUACCUAUAAAUAGGGGUGGGCCCCUUCAUUUGCCCAUCAACCACACCACACACACAAACACUUCAGCACACACACAAGCUCUCUAGAUUUUGUAAAAAGCUCUCUUGUAUAUUCUCUCUUUGAGAGUAAUAAAAUCAUAUUCAGCCAUACUGCUCUACUUCUCUCUAGCAUUUUCCACAAGUGUUCUUGCUUCGCUAGUUUGAGGAGUGUUCUAGGCUUGCUUAGCAACUUGUUUGCUACAAGGACAUCUUGGUCACAAAACAUGGACAUGCAAGGAAAAAAAAAUAUUGAUACAUUCUAAAAAUAAUACGCAUUCUUCUACAGUGAACCAAAAAAUUUAGGCUAAUGGUAGCAAGUGAAGGAAUUGUGAUUUCACGUGCAUUUUGUUGACAUGAACCUAAAGAACUUUUUUAUAGUUUAUAUUGUUUAAUAUAACAUUUGAAUUGCAAAAUAUGGGUACAAAAUGGAUACAUGAAGUGAUAAAACUAAGCUGAUUAUGAUAAAUAUUGAAUUAUAAGAUUUACGUUUAAUCAUAAAGACAUAAGUGGCGCACAAAGUCACGAAUUAUCAUCCAUGAUGCCAUAAACAUUAAAAUUGAGGUGCAUGUAAUGGUUUUGGACUAUCGGUGUAUAUCAAGAGGUCAAUUGAAAGCACAUGGAGAUAAGUUAAAUUUUUAGAAUUCAUUGUCUCUAGAAUAUCUAUACAUACUAUAUUCUUUAGUUUUGCUUCAAUUGUUGAAAUUCCCGUAAUAAACAUGAACAACAACGGGAUUCCGAAAAUCGAAAUCAACACAAGGUCUGUAACAUUCUUUAUGUUCCAACGCUUCGAUGGCAGCAGCCACCAGCCAAUAACAAAUGAUGAUCAGCAAAAUUUCGGAGAGGCUACCAGAUUAUUAAAUAAGUUUUUGCUGUUAAUUAAGGAAUUAAUUGAACAACGUUAAAUUAUGGAGAAAAUCUUUCGUGAUGCAAACACAUGCUUUUGCCCUCCAAAUCAAACACUCACCAUUGUAGGCCCCAAUGUCGUCUUUAUAGAUUUUCCAUCUUUAUGAUAUGUGCUCUUCUUAUCAGGAAAAAAAAAAAAAAAAUUCCAGCCGCAAACAUCGCCGAAAUUUCACAUUAUUAAAUCUAAAUUCAUUCAUUUCUUGACAAGGCAUAUCUCCUGCCUCUUCAACUUGCUUCUUGCAUCUAGCCAGCUAUAUAUCAACAAAAUUUACGCCUCGAAUCCGUUCCUAUUAACUACAAAUCCAAAAUAAUAAUAAUAAUAAUAAAAAGAAAAAUCUUGAAGUAAGAGAGCGUAAAUACUAUUUUAAACAAUGUAAUCCAAUGUCAUUCUCUUAAGAACAUGAUGAAUAUUUGUUAGCACGGACAAUUUUUUUUUUUUUUAAUGAUUAUGUUGAUGUUUCCUAAAACAUUGAGGGGCAGCUUGAAAUUAACCUUUUCGAAUACCCUAAACCCUCAACCCAAAUCAGGUCCAGUUGUGUGCUAUGUUCCCUCCAUCAGUCUUAAUUUUUAUUACAGUGGUACCGUACCACUGUUGCAACAUAGCUGGACCCAUUAUAAACACUUGAAGUCAAAGUUAAUGUUUUAAUUGUUAAGAAAAGUUAGAAGAAUAAAUUUUUUUAUAAGAGAAUUGGGUUUAAAUUUAGAAUUCUUUGGAGGAAAUGAGUGUAAAUUCCAAUAAUAUAAUUCAGCACUAUUUAUAUAUAUCAUUAGUUGGGUGAAAAAUUAAUUUCUCUCCUUUGAUGUGAUUUUCAUCAUUUAUUUUCAUAUGAUGGUAAUUUUUUGUUUAGAGUGAAGUUAUUGGCACCCUUUCAUUAUCCUUAUAAAAUCAUACUUCAAAUAAAAUUAUACUUAAAGACAAUAGAAUUAAUAACAUAGUUUUUUUUCCAAACAAAUAACUCACAUUCAUAAUUUUUUUUUCUUCUAAUUUUCUACAAGUUGCUUUGUAUCUAACUAAAAUAAAUUAUACAAAUUUAGAAUAAUCUAUUAUUCUUUUUAAAUUUCUUAUUGAUUAAAUAUUUGUGUGCUUAAGAUAGCUUUAAAAUUAUAAGAUAAAAUAUAUAUAAUUUAAGCCAAUGAUUAACAUUAAAAUAUCUAUCUCUCAUAAAAGUUUUUAAUUUGUGCGUAGGAUAAUAAUAAAAUUGCAAAAGAAAUGAAAAAUAGCAUACCACUAUUUUGAGUUUAAACAAUAAAAAAUUAAAUGAAAAAUUAGAAGUGUAUUUAAAAAAAGGAUAUUUUUAAAAAUAAAAUAAAUAUAAUUUAAAAAAAAAAAGAGUUUCAUGAGGGGUGCAAUAGUUCAACUCUUCUGUUUAUAAGUUUUAAGAUGUUGGUAUCCGUGGCUUAGCUUUUCCCUAAUUAUUAUAUUAAAAUGUAACAACAAUGAUGAUCAACCCUAAUUUCAUGGAGGUCAAAGAUUUUGGUCAUGCCGCAUUAAUUAGUUCAGUCAUACUUUCUACAAAUUUAUUUACAUUUAAUAAUUUGACCAAGACUAGGUAAGGUGCCGCCUGGAGUCAUAGAAUUUUUUAUGUCAAAAGCGCGUUUCACUUCAAUUAAGCCAUAAAUGUCGUUUAAUAUGCUCAUUUUGUUUUUUUUUUUUAAAGUUUUAUUAAUUUUUUUUGUUUUUAAAAUAUCAUUUAUUUAUUUUUUAAUUUUUUUUAAAGGUAAAGAAGUGGGUAAAGUUCAAAUUCAAUUUUUAUUCCUUACGCCAUGGCCCCUAAAAUUUGAACUUAGGUGACCAAAUGUAUAAUAAUAGGCAUCUCAAAUUUCAUUUCUAAUGAUAUGCAAUUUAUUAAGAGAUUCUGUUAGAGUGCAAUUUAUGCACUAGUUUUGCAUUGUUUACUUCCCUUAAUAUCGAUGUUUUGCACUUAAUAAUAGUGAUUUACUUGUGUUUUACUUUUGUAGGUGCAAUUCUAUUGAUUGGUGAUAAAAUUGAGCUAUAAGAUGAUGUUUAAGGAUGAUUGUUCUCUUGGAGAAAUUAUGAGCGGCAGAAGAACUUUGUUGAUAAGGCGUGGGCGCGUGCUGUCAACUGCGGACCUGCAGUUUUUAGUUUAACGUGUUUUGCAUUUUUGGUUAUUUUUGUAAUUACGAAUUUAAUAUUUCAGAUAUUAGUAUUUUAUUUUAAAUAGAAUUCUAAAAGAGAGGAGAGAGAGAGUAUUUAAGGGAGGAAUCUAUUGUGAAAAUAGGGGAAUGGGGAGAAAAGAAAGAAACCCUAAAUCUUAAUUUUUCUCUUCUCUCUAUGAAAAACUAAACUUAUUUUUCUGGUUGAAGGAUAAUGAAGCUUUGAUUCAUCACUACUGUGAGAUCUUUCUUGUGCUUUAAUUGUUUUAUUGCUUUUUGGGUAUUUGUUUAUUCUCUGAAUUAUUUUCAUGAUUAUGUUUGUUAAUUAGGUAAUUGACCACUAUUUAAUUAUCAACUUAAUCUAUUGUCAAUUAAAGGAUUCAUCGUAUGAAGAAUUUAAUGUUUGUGACAAAUAACAUAGUAGAGAGUUGUAUUGUGAGAAUAAAUAAUCUAAUUUAAAUUAAUCAUCAUAUGUAUUGAUUAGGAUUUGGGUCUCUCUGGUUUUUCAGGCUGUCAAUUGAUUAAAUCAUAUGAUCGUAUCUAGGGUUGUCUAUUGAUUAGGGAAAUAUCCAACGGUCGUACCUUGGUUAUCGACUAGUUAAGGAGAGAUUGGCUAUUAGAGGGUCUCAAUAGCUAUAACCGGUCUAUUCAUAAGUAAUAAUAAUCUAUAUUUGAAUCAAUGAUCAGUAGUCGAAUCAAGCUGAGUUAAUUCCUUCAACCAGAGCUUUCUCCAAUUUGAAUUACAACUUUAAUUUACAUUCUUGUUAUUUUAAUUUGAUUUUUAUUAUUAUCAACAAUUUCCCCAUUUUACGUUUUACGUUUCAAAAGGAUUUAAAUAAUUACCGAUCUCUGUGGACACGACCCUACUCAAUCACUAUACACAAUUUAUUUAGAGUAGGAAUUUAUUUUUGUUGGCUUCGACAACCAUCAAAUUUUGGCGCCGUUGCCGGGGAUUGGUGUCGUUUAUUUAAUCCUUUUUACGUUUUACUUGGUGUAUGGUUCGUUCUUCUUGUACAGGUACACUUUCAUUUGAUCCUGAAAUUGAGAAGACAGCUCACCAGCUGAGACAGCAGACGAAGCGAGCUUAGCAACGAUCCUCGUCGCCUUUGCUUUCUGAAACAGAUACGGUGUCUGAUUUAGUUGAAUCAUCUAGCGAUUCGGAAGAACAAGUGAUGGAUAGAGCUGCACCUGUAGAAAGAACUCUUAGAGAGUUAACUGAACCAGACUUGAAUCAGCAACCACUCUGCAUUCAAUAUGUAGACUUAGAGGUAAAUUUUGAAUUAAAGUCCGGUCUUAUUCAUUUAUUACCCAAGUUUCAUGGUUUUGCAGGUGAAGAUCCUCAUAAACAUCUUAAGGAGUUUCAUGUUGUGUGUUCAAGUAUGAGACCACAAGGUGUGACUAAAGAGCAGAUUAAGCUGCGUGCUUUUCCGUUCUCUUUAGAUGGGUUAGCUAAAGAUUGGUUGUACUACUUGCCUCCUGGAUCGAUUACAACGUGGAAUGGUUGAAGAAGCAGUUCCUCGAGAAGUACUUUCCUGCUUCAAGAGCAGCUAACAUCAGAAAAGACAUUUGUGGGAUCAGACAACUUCCUGGGGAGACUUUGUAUGAGUAUUGGGAGCGAUUCAAACAAUUGUGUGCCAGCUGUCCUUAGCAUCAGAUUUCUGAUCAACUUCUUAUUCAAUAUUUUUACGAAGGACUAUCAUUGAUGGAUAGGAGUAUGAUAGAUGCUGCUAGUGGAGGCGUGUUGGUGAACAAGACCCCUACUCAAGCAAGGGAGCUGAUAUCAAAUAUGGCUGUCAACGCACAACAAUUUGGCAGCAGGUAAGAUCUCACUUCAAGGAAGGUGAAUGAGGUAAAUAUUUCUUCUGUUGAACAACGUUUAAAUAAACUUACUUCUCUUGUGGAAAAGUUUGUUGUAGGUAAUGUGCAAUAGGUGAAGACUUGUGGCAUUUGUUACAAUAUGGGUCAUUCAACUGAUAUGUGUCCUACACUUCAAGAAGAACCCGUUGAACAAGCCAAUGCAGUUGGAGAAUUUCCAGGCAUGCCUCAGAGGAGGUAUGAUCCUUAUGCACAAACAUACAAUCCGGGAUGGAAGGAUCACCCCAACUUCAGCUAUGGAGUUAGGCCGUCAGGAUUCCCACAACAGUAUCCACCAAGACAACCAGCACCUCCACAGUCAAACUCCAAGUCAGGUAUAUCUCUUGAAGAAAUUGUUAAAUCACUUGCGACUAACACUCAACAAUUUCAGCAGGCAACUACAGCAAGCAUUCAGAAUUUGGAGAACCAAAUGAGUCAAUUGGCGACUACAGUGAGUCGUCUGGAGUCUCAAGUAUUAGGGAGAUUGCCUUCACAAUCUGAGGUGAAUCCAAAGCAAAACGUUAGUGCUGUCAUCCUUAGAAGUGGAAAAGAGUUACAAGAGCCUAGUAAGAAAGUGACAAAGCAUGUAGAAGAUGAGCUUGAGAAGAAUGAAUUGAUGCCUAAAUCUCAAGAUGCGCAACCCACCAGAGCGAAACCCUUACCUAUUGUGAUACCUCCUCCUUUUCCAAGCCGGUUUGCAAAAUCCAAGAAGGAGGAACAAGAGAAAGACAUCCUUGAGACAUUUCGCAAGGUUGGGGUAAAUAUUCCUUUAUUAGAUGUUAUAAAACAAAUACCUCGAUAUGCUAAAGUCCUUAAGGAACUGUGCACCUCUAAGAAAAAAUUAAGAGGAGAUGAAAAAGUUCACAUGAGGGAGAAUUUUUCAGCAAUUCUUCAAAAAAAACUACCUCCUAAGUGCAAGGAUCCAGGUAUGUUUACUAUCCCUUGUAAAAUUGGUAGUGUUAGAAUUGAAAAGGCUUUGUUAGAUCUAGGAGCUUCUAUUAAUGUCAUGCUUCGUUCCAUUUAUUCAUCUUUGAAUGUUGGUCCAUUAAAAGAAACUGGCGUGAUAAUUCAACUAACUGAUAGGUCUAAUGCAUAUCCUGAUGGGGUAUUAGAAGAUGUCUUAGUACAAGUUAAUGAGUUGGUUUUUCCUACUGAUUUUUAUGUACUUGAUAUGGAAGAUGAUAACUCUUCUAAUUCUGUCCCAAUUUUACUAGGAAGACCUUUUCUUAAGACUGCUAGGACUAAAAUGGAUGUACAUAAAUGGACUCUCACUAUGGAGUUUGAUGGAGAGGUUAUAGAAUUCAAUAUGAAUGAUGCCAUGAAAUAUCCUAGUGAGGAACAUUCAGUAUUUUCUGUGGAUGUUAUUAACCCUAUAGUGCAGGAAGUUUUUUACAAGAAAAAGACGAAGACAUUUCAUGAUAGAAUGAUUUUGAGAAAUGAGUUCUCUAUUGGUCAAAAAGUUCUUCUUUUUCAUUCUAAGCUUAAACUUUUUCCGGGUAAAUUACGUUCUUGCUGGGUUGGACCUUUUAUUGUUACUAAUGUUUUUCCUCAUAGUGCAGUUGAGAUUCGAAGUCCGACCUCUGACAAAGUUUUUAAGGUUAACGGCCAUCGCUUAAAACCUUUUUAUGAAGGUUUUUCGGUGAAUAUUGUGGAGGAUGUGGCUCUCGAGAGUCUUAAUUAUGGAGAUUGAUGCAUAAAUGUGUCUAGCCAAAGACAUAAAACAAAGGCGCUUUUUGGGAGGCAACCCAAAUGAUUUAUUUAUUUUGGUUUUUGUUAUAUCUUCUUUUAAUUUUGAUUCAGAUUUUUUUUUUAAAUAAUGUGUUUGCUUAUUUUGGCCAGAAGAAAAUGUUUGAUAAGGCGUGCCCACGUCCUAACUAAAAAGUACUUCUGUAAUUUUUAAAGUAAAAUAGUUUUAAGGCGUGCCCACGUGCUUAUUAAAAAAGUACUUCUGAAAUUUUUAGUGUCUCAAAGUGAUUCAUCACAAAAAAAAAUAUAAAAAAAAAUUUAUUUAUUUUAUUUUAUUUAUUUUAAAAAAACGAAAAAAAAAGAGAUUUUCUUUUGUUCUUUCUUUUAUAUAUUUAUUUAUUUAUUUAUAAAAAAAAUUCAAAAAUCACUGAAACAUCACUACAACUACAGGUCUUUAUGUGUCAAUGAACUGCAGAAGCUAAUGAUCUACUUGUAGUAGACUUCUAUUGCCCCUGCCGUUCUAGGAAGACAAACAAGUUCAGGAACUACUUCUGGACCAAACUCAUAAUAUUGCCACUGCUUUGUGCCAAUCUCAGAGGGAAAGAAGAUUGAAGUUCCUAAAUAAGGCACAUCAUGAUUUGAUAGAAGUACCACUAUAAGGAAAAAUUGAUUUCAGGAAAGCACUAAAUUAUGACAUAAUCUCCCCCUAAUGGUCUAAAGUAGUCAAGAAAUGAUAUUAACCAAGUAAAAACACAUAAACUAGUUGAGAUACAAAGUUAUCAUAAAAGUCAAUUUUGAUCACAAAUCCAUUAAAAUUAAAAGUCAUCAGAAACUUAGAGAAAAUUAUAAUUUAGCACUCAGCUAAAUUGCAGAUUCUGUAACUGACAGCUAAGUCCACAUUGGCCUUGCAUCAGCUGAGUUUGGGUUGCUUUUCCUCUCUCCUGCAACGCGUGGAAGCUCCCCAUUUGCUGUGUUAUACAGAGUCGGUACCGUAGCAAGCUCUUAUAAUUUAAGUUUGAUCACUGUAGACAAUAGUCUGCCUCUGCUCAAAAGCUAUGCUGCAAGAUAUAACAUCUUUGCAAUGUUAUACUUUCUAAAAGUAAUAAGAAAUGGAACCAAGGGGUAAAUCGAACACCAAAAGAAAUUUAGUCGGCCAACCACAUUAUGUCCCACACAGUCCACUAAUUAAGUUAAUAAUUAAAGGGAAUCAAAAUCUAAGAAAUCUCAUCUUCAAGCAGAAUACAAACACACCGCGAUUGAAAAUCACAAAAUCAUAAAAAGAAGCUGACUUGAAAAGCUCAAAUAUACGUCCAUCAGCCUCUCAACUUAUAUCUAAAAACAAAUGCCUGCAGCUUGUGAAGACAUAGAUAAUUGAAGCUGACGAGGCACAUUUAACAUAUGAUAAUCAAAACUCGUGUGAUUAAAAUUAUAAUUCAAUAAUUGAGCACAAAAAACAAGAAGUAACUAGUUGUAAUAUACCAAACAACUUUCUGAAGUUAAGGCGUAAAACAACAACGCAGAACAAAUUAAUUAAAUAUACCAGCACCAAUACUCUUAUUAUUAUCCAAAUAUAGAAGACCAAUGUAUCAAACAAGGAAAAUGAAAUAUUGUUAAUAAAUAAAAAACAACUAGUGUCAAGAACUAAAGUAAUAAGUAAAACCCAUAAUCAGACACGACCACAUCCAAAUCUCUGAAAAUUGAGGUCUAAACAUUGAAAAUAAUUAGACAUAUAUAGCAGUCAAUCGAAACAAAGCCUCAAAAUAAUAAUGAAAAUAAGACAGAAACUAAAUUGUAAACAACAGCAUACCCAGUGUUGAGUGUUAGAAAAUGCAUAUUUAUAAAGGAGAAAACCGUCAUUUUACAUUUUAAGUCUUACUAACAACCCUUACUGUUAUAUAUUUAACCUUCUUGUGAUUUAAUUACAUGUGUUUUAUUUUAAUUAAGUAUUUUAUGUAUUUUAGGGGCAUUAUAGUCAUUUCACAAUAAAGGAGAGAUCAGACGGCAAAACGGACAUCACUUUUGAACUCAGGACGGUCGAAAACCUUAGGAGGAGCAUAAAAGGAAAAUGGCACUAUUCACAUGUACGGUAUUAUUCACGUGUACGGUACUGUAUACGUUACUGUUCACGACACUGUUCACAUAAACGGAUGAUGACGUGGCAUUGACCGAUGAUGUGGCAUUGACUGAUGAGGUGUCACGAUCCUGUUGGACUAAAAUUCUUAUGCACUGUUGAUGGUGACGUGGCAGCAUAUCAGUGGACGAAAAAUCUCGCGUACGGUGCAUGCAUCACACAGGAUUAUUUUCAACCAAACCGCGUUACUGUUCAUCCGGGUCAAACCGCGUUACUGUUCAAAGUCGGGUCAAACCGUGUUACUGUUCAUCCGCGUGGUCAAACCGUGGACUGUUGACUGAUGACGUGGCGCAAUCCUGAGCGUCCAAACUGUUUUUAAUCCGAUGGCCAUGAUUUACUCCAUGUAUCUAUAAAAAGGGGGCCUCCCCCCCCUAAUUUGAUAUCUCUGAAUCCAUUUUUGGGAUCCAUUUUCUGUAAUUCUCUCUCCAUCUUGUAUUUUCUAUGUAUUUUAAUAAAUUCCCAUUUUGCCCCUAGUUCAAUUAUGAGUGGCUAAUUUUCUUUCAAGCUUGGGUUGAAGGUGAAGUCUCAACAUGUGUCAUGGGCUUAAUUUGGUAAAUUUACUUUCUCUUCCCCUCUAGUUUUUGUGGAUGUUUUGACUUCUCGUCGACAAAUAAUACUAAUCUUGUCUAGUACCGCCUUGGUUACACCGGCUCUCUAGUAUAAGGUUAUUAUUAUUUGGCACGAUAAGCCCUUAGCACCAUAUUGAUUAGAGCGUGGUUCAUGAGGUGUGGAUUCCCCCCUCAUGAUUUAAUUGGCAUUAAUACGGAUUAUUUAGCCCAUGAUGCAUGUUGAUACGGAUCCGGAUACCCAAGUACGUCAUUUCAAUAGAAUUCUCUUCAAUUUCUUCUCGCCAUUUCAAUACCAAUUUUAGAAUUUAUUCUCGCCAUUUUAAUUUAAGUUGUAGCAUAUUUCAAAUCAUUUCCACCAUAAUUCCAACCACCCAUUUACAAAAUUAAUUCUAUAUAUAAUUAAAAUCCACCUCCUCGUGGGAUCGACACUCGUCACCAUUGAUCUACACUACAAUAGAUUCGUGCGCUUGCGAGUACAUUAAAAUUUGCACAACAAGUUUUUGGCGCCGUUGCCGGGGAGGUAAGUAAUUUUAAUUCAUAGAAUUAAUUUUUGUGAAUAAUUUCUUUUUCUAUUAAAAAAAAGAAAAAGAAAAAAAAAGUGAAUCUACAUAUAAAGGUUAGUAUUUCUUUUCUUUUUCUCUUCUUUAAAAUUUUGUAAUUUAAUUUUCAAUUUAUUUAUUUUUUCUUUGUAAUUUUUGUUUAUUUUAUUAAUUUAAUUUUUUUUCACGUAUUUAUUUUUGUGUAUUUUUAUAGAAAGGUUGUAAUAGCGCAAUAAGGUUAGUAUUGUAAUUUCUCUCUCUUCUUUAUUUUAUUUGUAUUUAUUUUGUUCCAUCUUCAUUUUCAUUUUAUUUAUUUUGCAUGCAUGGUCGUAGGUCAUUAUUACCUAAUCUUGAACCUAUAGACCUUGAACUUGAGAAAACAAUUCGCACACAAAAGCACAUUAAAAAUAAAUUUGGAAUGGAUUUACAAGCACCACAGGAGAGGCCAUUUAAGGACUAUUUUAGUCCCUUAGCUAAUUUGAGCACAUCAUGCAUAAGAUACCCAAAUGUAGCUGCUAGGAGCUUUGAACUAAAACCUAGUGUGCUAAAUUGUCUCCCCACAUUCUAUGGCUUAGAAAAUGAGGACCCAUAUAAUCAUUUGAAUGAUUUUCAUGCUAUUUGUCAAACAUUUAAAUAUGAGAAUUUUUCAGACGAUGAUGUUAAACUCAGAUUAUUCCCAUUUUCUUUAAAGGAUAGAGCUCGUUCAUGGCUUAAUACAUUGCCUGCUAAUAGCAUUUCAUCAUGGGAACAAAUGGUAACAAAAUUUUUGAAUAAAUAUUUCCCAGUGCAUAAAACCAAUGCUAUUCGCAGGGAAAUCUCGGAGUUUACCCAAAGAGAGGACGAGCAGUUUUUAGAAUUUAUUCUCGCCAUUUCAAAACCAAUUUUAGAAUUUAUUCUCGCCAUUUUAAUUUAAGUUGUAGCAUAUUUCAAAUCAUUUCCACCAUAAUUCCAACCACCCAUUUACAAAAUUAAUUCUAUAUAUAAUUAAAAUCCACCUCCUCGUGGGAUCGACACUCGUCACCAUUGAUCUACACUACAAUAGAUUCGUGCGCUUGCGAGUACAUUAAAAUUUGCACAACACCCAGUAACAGUAAUCAAGUAAAAAGUCAAAACCAGAAUCAAACGUAGAAUUUUGAAAUCCAUACGAACUCUAAUGUAUUAGAGUGAAAGAAUAAGGACGAUCGAUAAACUAGACUCAAACAAAAACAUGCCUAGUUAAAAAAUGAAGAUAAAUAAAUAAAAAUGGUAUAAAACUGUGAAAAAAAUUAAUGAAAUGAAGAGAAAAUCACAGGAAUCCUAUGAAGAGGAAGGUAAACAAAACCUUUGGGAGCCAAGAAGAUGCCUUUUUUGUUGACGUUUGUGCCUAUACAUGCAUUUUUUUUUUUUUUGUAAUUUUGAAGAAAGUAUUGGUUAAUAUUGUCAGAACGAAAUAUUAAAAAUAGAUGCUGGCAAUUUCAACAAGGACAAUCUUCGACUCAAAUGUACCCCUAUGAUAAAGAAAAAGCCAGCUUGGCUAAAUUUUGAGCACCACAUUACAAGAUCUAGGUGUAUGUUUAACUAUGCAAAAUGAAACAUCUAUUAAUUGUAAGUCCCUUGACCUCUGGAACCAGCCAACCGAUCUCUUUCCUACUAGACAACCUUCCAUCGAUCAGACUAAUAAUAUUUACUAAAUCAUGUUCUACAGUUAAUGAAGUUGGACCCAAGGCAAGUGUUAGCUUAAUGUCAUAGGCCGCUCAAAUUUCCUGUAAUUGGAGGAUAAUUAUGUGCACAUGAGUUCGCUUAACAAAAGUCCGCCUAGGCGUGGAGUGCACUUAAAAGUGGGAUGCGCUUAGCAAAUCAUCCAAGCCCAACCCGAGAUCUAGAGCUCUCUGCAAAUUAUAAAUAUGCUAAAAGUUUUUAUGUUUCUCCACGUAGGUCCCUAGGAUAUUUAUGGAAGUUGCUAGGAAGUUUCCUCCCCUAGAACUCUAAUACCUAUAAAUAGGGGUGGGCCGCUUCAUUUGCCCACCAACCACACCGCACACACAAACACUCCAGCACACACACAAGCUCUCUAGCUUUUGUAAAAAGCUCUCUUGUAUAUUCUCUUUUUGUGAGUAAUAAAAUCAUAUUAAGCUAUAUUGCUCUACUUCUCUCUAGCAUUUUCCGCAAGUGUUCUUGCUUCGCUACUUUGAGGAGUGAUCUAGGCUUGCUUAGCAACUUGUUUGCUACAAGGACAUCUUGGUCACAAAACAUGGACAUGCAAGGAAAAAAAUAUAUUGAUACGUUCUAAAAAUAAUAUGCAUUCUUCUCCAGUGAACCAAAAAAUUUAGGCUAAUGGUAGCAAGUGAAGGAAUUGUGAUUUCACGUGCAUUUUGUUGACAUGAAGGUAAAGAACUUUUUAUAGUUUAUAUUGUUCAAUAUAAUAUUUGAAUUGCAAAAUAGGGGUACAAAAUAGAUACACGAAGAGAUAAAACUAAUCUGAUUAUGAUAAAUAUUGAAUUAUAAGAUUUAGGUUCCCAGCUACAAAGNNNNNNNNNNNNNNNNNNNNNNNNNNNNNNNNNNNNNNNNNNNNNNNNNNNNNNNNNNNNNNNNNNNNNNNNNNNNNNNNNNNNNNNNNNNNNNNNNNNNCACAAAGUCACGAAUUGAUAUCAUCCACGAUGCAAGUUCAAACAACUGCAUAAUAAGUUGCCCCAAGCUAAACUAUUAAUCUAAUAACUACUCCAGUCGAUGUGGGAUAAUUUUCCUAUCACCAUAUAUCACAUGCAAGCCGAAUUUGUUGCUUGGUUCUUACAUGUGGUAAGGUAAUAUGAACCCACUUGUGCAUAAAUUUGGCUCCAAUAUUAUAUAGAAGCUUAUGACCCAAAAUUAUACUUAAAGGUUAUUUCAAGAUUUGAAGGUUGCCUCAAGCUAAUAUUAUUAUUAGCCUGGUAACCCUUUUUUUUUUUGUUGAUAUGUGAUAUUUUCCCUAUAACUUUUUAUUAAUCUUUAUGCUUAUGUUUUGUCAUUUAUCCCAAAAUAUAACAUUAACAAAAGUUCCAAAAUUUCCUUCAAGAGAUAUAUUUGAGACAAGUAAUUUGUGCAAUAACUUUGUGAAUUGAUGAGCAAAUUCAGAGAAAAGAAUAUAUGUGCCAAACGUAACGUUUAUUAUUGUGUUUAUUUGUAGAGCUAUUUAAAGCCUAAAAAAAAAGCACCGGUCCGCUAUUAUUUCAAAUAAGUUCAAGCCCUAUGUCAUUAUUGCUACAAAAAUGUAUUAGAAUGGUUAAAAACUAUCUUUAUUUAACUUGUAAACUUAGGAAAUUAUCAACUGUCCACCCUUAAAUUGCACUGUUAUAAAAAAUAUUACAACAUUUUCAGGUUGUAUCAUUCAUCUACCAUAAAUUUACAAUCUGCAUCAUUUAUCCACCAAAUCAUUAAUUUUGUUAAAAAGUGAUAGAUGUCUCAGGGGUAAUUUAGACAUUUAACACACAAAAAAAACUAAAAGAGAAAUUAUCUAAGCUUACCAUGUUAUCAAAAUUGCUACAAAAUUUUAAAUUUGUUCAAUUUUCCAAUCUAAGUUUAUGACCUCCAAGAUGUCAAUUGCAGUUUGUAAUUAAUGAGUUCAUAAGGAUAAUUUAGUCACUCAAUAUGCAAAAUAAAAAAUAAAAUAAUGGCUUAAAACAUUAAAACAAAAAAACUACUUUUUAUAAUUGAUAUUCAAUAAUACACAUAAACUCUAUUUUUUCUUAAUUAAAAAUAUUCUAAUUUAUUUUCUCAAUUUAUCAUCAUAAAUUUAUAUUAAUAAACUAAAUCCACAAAUUACCCUAAACCCUAAUUCAUAAAUGCCCAAUCAAUCUAAUAGUUUAAUUCGAUUUCAUAAUUAAAAAAGCUAAAUUUAUUAUAUUAGUUAUGGUGCAAAGUCAAAAAUGCCCUUAAAUUCAAGGGUAAAAUAACAUUUUAUUUAAAUUCUAUAAAUUAUCCUAACAAUGUUAACAUUUUGGUGGACGGUUAAUAUAAGUUACAAACUUAAAAUAGAAAAUCAAAUAAAUUCAAAUUUUCAAACUAUUUAGGGCAAAUUUAGGACAUAUGGUUAAUAAUUUUCCCAUAUCUUUUUACAUUGGUUGGUAUAAGUUACAAACUUAAAAUAGAAAAUCAAAUAAAUUUAUAUUUUCAAACUAUUUAGGGCAAACUUAGGGUAUAUGGUUAAUAAUUUUCCUUUGUCUUUUUACGUUAAAUUGAGUUUCAAAGGUAAAAUGGUUAAUUUAUUAUAAUUCUGUUAAUUUUUUAGUGGAAGCAAACGAUAUAAUGGAUGAAUGAUAUAAGUUGUAAAAUUAAGGUGCAUGAAUGAUACAACUUUAAAGUAUUGUAGUAAUUUUAAUAAUAGAACAAUUUAAGAGUGGAUUGGCAAUAAUUUAAACUUUGAUGAAGCAACUAAAAAAAAAUUUUAACAAAAGAAAAAUAAUUGAAAUGCUUUAAGAAAAAUAAAGGAAAUUAAAUAUCUUUAUAAAAACAUAAUUGAGUAAAAUCAUUUUACAAAAUGCUCUUUCAAAUGCACAUUCCACAAGCCAGGGAGAACGGGUGACUAACAAAAAUCUCACUUUUUAUGAGUUUAUAAAAUCUCAUUUUUCGCAGAAUAAAAAAAUAACCAAUACUAAUCACAUAAAAAAUAAAAAUUAUUCACGACAUUACGCACUUUCUUCGCUGUCUAGAAAGGUAGAACAUUUUGAAGUUUCUCAAUACAAAAGGCGUGCUACUACUAAAUUGGCCCAAUUAAUGCCCAUCGAAAAGGCCAUCAAUUUAGCCAUCAAUUUUGUCAAAAUUUCAACAAUUGAAGAAACAUUGAUCACAAACGGAACAGGUGAAUUUUGAAGUUGAAUAAAUCUUGAGAUACAUACAACAAAGCCUUGAAACUUUAUUCUUCACAAUUUGAGCACGCACUAAAUAUUAAACAAGUAUAGAACAAAGCUUAUUUUUAGCUUCUUGUGCGAACAGUACACGCUGAAAUGUGUUUUUUUUUUUUUGGAUUUUUGGAAUUUUUUAAAAUCAUUUAUGUUCGCUGCCAUCUUUUUCUUCGCUGGCGUCUUCAUUGGCAUCUCUCUCUUGGCUAGCAUCUGCCACGUCUGUAGUUUGCUGUGCCUAUAUAUCCAACCAAUUAAUUGGGCAUUAAAUACGAAUGAUCAAUAAAAUAAUAAAAAAAAACAAACAGAGAAAAUUAUAACAUUAAAACAGAAAUUUUGAUUUAGGAUAGAUCAAUUAGCUAUCACAAACGAAAACAUAAACCAACUAUGUACAGAGUCAAUUAACUAAAGUUCUCAAGAGUUGACCUGUGCUCCAGAAUUCUUGGAAUCAUCUAUCUCCUUCUGAAUUUCCACGAAGCUUGGGACAAUUAUAAACAACUCCGUCGAAUGCAGAUGGAAAUGGGAUCCGAUAACCCGCAGGCCAAAAGUUGGUGAGGUUUGGUAAAUCUAACAGUCUAAACCCCUGAAGUGCAUUCAUAACAAUUUCAUUGUACUCCGUGACGUGUGCUCCAUCUUUAUGCCAGAAUACUUCUUCUAAUUCAUCAUUAGCUGCUAUAGAUAUGUGCUUCAGUUUUUGAAGACUUGGAGCUACGCUGAUAUGAAAUAGAUGCUUUAGUUUGGGGCAACCACAGACAGUGAUGCUUGUGAGUUUUGGGAAACAUAGGGGUUGGAGAUGAUCCUCAUCCUCAUCCUCAUCAAUGAUUUGCUCUAAUUCCCGACAAUUAUAAAUUUCCAACUCCUUCAAUUGCAACAGAUUUCGAGCAAGUGUUGAUGAGAGGAGACGUCUCAGCGUAGUGCACCCGUCCACUCUUAAAUUGAUAAGACUUUGCAGGCUAAAAUUAUGAGUGGGACCUUCAUGAUAUAAUACUCGCAGUUCUCGAAGAUAUUCUAAGUUCAACUUCUUCAAACAUGGGAAAAGUUUGUUUUCUUGUCCAUCAGCGAUAAUAGCUUCCAACUGAAAUACCACUUGUACUCCAAUUGUGAUAAUAUUCAAUUCUUCCAAAUUUUUUAAACCAUGCUUCAACAGUGCUGGAAUCGUGUCACUCAAAUGGGAACAACUUCCCACUUCUAGAAUUCGUAAGUUCUGAGACAAAUAAAUAAAUAACUUGAUGCAAUUAAAAUCUAUUAGCAGCUAGGAUUAUCACAUGAUAAGUGAUGAACACCGCAAAAAACAAAAACAGAAAACAAAAUCCAUACAAAAAUAUCAUAAUACAUAUGUAAACUAAUAAAAUAAUUAAAAAGUAAUGGAUUUAAAAAAAUGAAAUUAGUUAAAAGAGAUCAUGUGAAGUGAUAUAAAUAUGACAUUAGAUUGUUUUAGAAAAAUUAUUAUUCUAUUAAUUUAUAUGGCUUGAUCAACUAUUUAAUUAAAUUUGAGUAAUAUUACAUACACUUCAGAAGUGUUUGCAUCAAUUCUUUCUAAACCAAAAUGAGAUAUGACUUUCAUUUGAAAAAUGAUUUUAGGCCCUAAAAUAAAGAAAUUUUCCUAAGAUAUUUGAGCAUUAUGAUUAUCAUUUUCCUAAGAUAUUGCUAAACUAUCAUUUUGAGUAAAAUUGAAUGAAAAGAAAAAACAUGAACCCAAACAAACAUACCUCUUUGAGAUACUGCAAAUUGGCUUCAAGUUCAUUACUGUUGAUGGUCAAGUUGGGACAGCAAUCAAGCUUUAACUCUUCCAAUGCUGUCCAAAUUGAACAAUAAUUCUCUGAACAGAACUUGGUGAGUUCUGGGAGACCUUCAAGUUUUAAUUUUCUCAACAAAGGGAGGGCGAGCAUCGUAUUUCCAUCUCCGACACUUAUUUCCCCUUCAUUAUGAUCAAACUUUGCUUCGACAAUAUAUUCCAGUCUCUCGCAUUCACUUACAUAGAGACUUUUAAGCUGCUCCAAACUUCUAGCUUGUGACAACGUGAAGAUAUAUGUCAACUUCUUGCACCUAUGCACAUUCAAUUUUGUAAGAGUUUGGAGACUGAUCACAUGUUGGGCGGGCGCCUUCCAUAUCCACUUCAGUUCUGGUAAGUCCCACAUAGAUAACUCUGCUAAUCUUGAGAGACUCUUUCCAUGCGGGGACUUAGAGGCUUCCAUUAUGCAUUCUAAAUCUUCGCAAUCGCCGACAUUAAGACAAGUCAACUCAUUUAAGCCCCUUUCAUCUAUGCUUGGCACAAUAUUGUAACAACCUAUAAUCCCACUUAAAUAAAGAAUUUUCAGUUCCUGAUACAAUGCUGAAAAAAUACCGAGCGAGGUCGCCGCUUCAUGAGGGCAAUUCUCAAUGAUUAAUUUCCUUGUCUCAUCACCAUCUUCCAUUUCAACAUCAACUCCUUCACCUUUACAGAUGACGUACCUUUGCAAUUUCGGGAAUGUAAAGUCUUUUGGAAGACAUACAACAGAUCCGUCGGCUUGGGAGUUCAACUCAGCAUUACUUUCUUCUGAACUCAUCCCUUCAACCUCCCAAUCUUUUAUGCAACCAUAAAAUUCUUCUAAUUGAGGAAAUUUUUUUAUCGUAAUAGGAGAAACAGAACUGGUAUCAAUAUAUAGAAGUUUCAAUCUACUACGUUUAUCCCCCAAUUCUUCUGGAAUUUUAAUGGGAGACUUCUUGAGAAAAAUAAUUUGAAGCCUCUUCAACUUUCCAAGCAAAGACGCAUCACUCACCUCACAUCGAAUCAACUGCAGAACCUGGAGGUCGGUGAGGAUCUGAAGCGAUUUAAGUGAAAGAACUCCACCUAUUAUAGUGACAACUUUCAAUGCUGGCAUCCCUUCGAAAAAAUGUUCUGGAACAUGCAAUCGGUGGUCGUAUUCAGGAUUCUCCAAUCGCAAAAUAUGAAGGUUAGGGCAUACCAAACCACUAGGAAGCUCUUCUCUUUUAUUUCCCACCAAAGAGAUUCCUCUGUAUUGUUCCAGGCCUUCUUUCAUUGCCCGUUCUGCCAAUCCAAUGCCAACUUUACUAAAAAAUUUCUUCUCCUCUAGAACUAUUGAGCCUAUCCAUAUGGCUACAUCACGAACUAUGUCAUGCAUUUUCACAUAUCUGUCAUUACCAGUGUCUAACAGCAGUGACGCAGCUUUGAGCGCGUUAAUCGUUCCAUGCAGUCGGCUUCUGGCGUUUUCUAUUGACGGAUCACAUUGAUACCAAAUAACCCCCACUGCGUAUCCAACCAAAUCCUCCAAAUAAAUCUCAUAAUCUUCUGGAAACAGAGAACACAACAAGAAGCAUAACUUGGACUCCUCACUAUUUAAAUUGUCGUAACUGAAUUUGAGACAACCGUAAACGUCUUGGUCAUCCUUGUCAAUACCUUCUAUUGCAUAGAGUUUUGCUUCCCUUAGGUUAUAUAGUGCUAGAUUCCAAUCAUCAAAUCCUUUUUCCCUUAGUGCACUUCCAACAGCUUCAAUAGCUAAAGGCAGCCCCUUACAUUCGUCAGCAACUUGUUUUGAAACACCAUCCAAGGAGGAGUCGUUUACAUUAAUACGGGCAUUCAUUUUUAGGAGAGUCAAUCCUUCUUCUGGUGUUAGUGUACCAAGUUCAAUCUGUGGGUAACAACCGAAAAAACCACAAAUUGACUUUUUGCGAGUGGUUAGAAGGAUUUUGCAACAACUGUCUCUAUCACCAAUGGGAAUACCUAAUUUUUUCUCCAAGUCGAAUUGUUUCCAAACAUCAUCAAGGAUUAUGAGGAUUUUGCUGCCUUUACUCUCAGAAAACAUCAACCGCAAUCGAUCUGCUCUCUCUUUUUCAUCUGUCUCAUAUAACGCCCAGCCUAACGACUUUGCCAGCUCACCUUGAACCUUUAUUAUAUCUGGAUCCUGAGACAUAGUGGCUAUCCCCACCUUAUCGAAAUCCUUUUGUUGCCGAAGUUGAUUGCCCACAAAUUUUGCCAGGGUUGUCUUUCCUACACCACCGAGACCAUGCAAUCCCACCAUCUUUGUGCUGUCUUUUUUCAGUGCUUCAGUGAUCUGAUUACAAGCCGAUUCUGUAGUCUCGAAAGUAGAAGUAAAAUGACUUGGCAAACUUAAUUUUCUCUCUAAUGGUAGAGGUUUAGGAAAGGCAACUGUGGUGAAUUCGCUGCAGUCUUGUAGCAGAUCAGACAACUUGCUAGUCUUCUGUGAUGCUUUUCUACCCAGCCAAUAUCGGCAACACCAAUUAGGACACAAUCCAUGAAGACUACUAUCCUUUUCAUCUAUCUCUGCUUUCAACUUCCGAACAUCGUCCAAUUCUGUGUCUACAUUCUUCAGCCACUCCGUUACAUUUUCAUCGACUACUAUGUCGGGGCAUUUUCGUCGUUCAUCGUCUAUUCUUGUUUUGAUGCCAUCUCGUGCCUUCUCCAACUUAGUUUCUUUAUCCUCAAGUUCUUUAACAAUGCUGUUGAAACAGAACAUAUAGCGAGCUUGGUCAAUGGCUGCAUUCACCAAUAAUUCUUCAACCUUUGAUUUUAAAGCUUCCAUGCUAUUUAUCUGCAAAUAACGAAGUUGAUCUCAGCACGCUAUUAGCGAAACAACAAGGUUUGAUCACCAGACAAAAUGAGAACGUUUAAUUACCUCUUUCUGUACUGUGAAUGCACGUCUAUUAACACCAGCUUUGACCAAUAAGAGCAAAAUGCAGAGGUGGGGCCUUAAGAGUUUCGGUGGCCUUUAGCUGCAAAACGGCAGAUGACAAAUAAGGUGAACGUUCCUAGCAAACGUGAUUUACGGUGAAUUAUAUUCAAAUUAGAUUAUUUUAAAAGUUGGUAAAUUAUUUAUCACUCUAUCUUAAUGAUACCUUAUUUGGGAUGGUAAAGAUUGGGGGUAAAUUUCCUUUUAUUCUCACAUGUUUUUAUAGUAUUUAUAUUUUUAUAAAUUACCUAAAACAUCCACGUCACUACUUUUAUAGCUAUUGAGCAUAUCAUUUCAAAUAUAAAAUACUAUUUCUGUCUAAUAUAAAUUAAAAAUCAAACAAAUCUAUCAUGCAAUAAAUGAAAAGUAAAGAAUAUUAAUUAGGUUUUAAUGGAAACAAAUAUAAAACAUAGAGGUUUUGAGUAACUUCUGUGAUUUUUUUUAAUGUUCAAUUUAGAAUUGAAUAAUUUGCAUAAUGAAAUUUUGAGGUUUCUAUAAUUUAUAUGAAGAUAAACUGCAAAAUAAGUUUAUAUGCCGAAAUUAAAAUAGUUAUAUAUUAGCAAUCAUAUAAUAAUAAAAAAUUUUAAUAAAAUUUAUUUAAAAAUUGGCCAAUUGUGUUUCAUGAGUAAAACAGAGAGCAUAAUGGACUUAUGUUGGGUCUUGGGAUUGAAAGACUAAGGGUAAGGGGCCGGGAGGUAGGACGGUAGGAAAAUUAUUAUUAUUUUUUUUUUAUAAAGUAUGGUCAACAUUAGUGACUCGGAGGUGAUUGCCGUUAAUCAAUUACCUUUAACUUAAGAAUUAAUACAAAUAAAUGGCAAAAAUAAUUUAAUGAAAAUUAAUUUAAUAAAAAAUUGCACUAAAAACUUGGAACUCAAAUUCUCGAUCAUUUUAUCCGUACGUUUUAAUCCGACGCUCAGAAUUGGCAUAAAACAAACUAAUAUAGCCAUUGGAAGUAAAACAAACAUCAAAUUUAGAGCCUAUAUCUCGUACCUUCUUCCUUAUAGAUCCUCAAUUGCUGCUGAAAGCUCCAAUUAAGAGAGUCGCACAAGUUCGCAGAAAAUUAAAAGCUGCAUAUGGCAAUAUAAAUAAACAUGAGAUCAAAAAAUCAUAGGAUAUAUCUAGCCAAUUAACAUCAUAUAUAACUCCUUGUUCUCAGUCAAAUCUUUCAUUCUUAGGAGGAUAAAAAAAAGAUUGAAAUAAUAACAGUAAGUGAUAUAGGAAGCAAAAGUAACAUACCAAAACGAGAGCAGCUAGCUCACAGAUCUGGUGACUUUCAAGAGCAUGAAAAAUGAUUAAACUUUGGUAGAAAGGUUUGAGCCGUGUUUCACAAGUUGCUAUUGACUUCGUGGCUUCGCUUUUGUUUAUUAUUAUUAUUAUUUUUUCAAAUUCUAUAUCAGUGAGAAUUGAAAUGUGGAAAGUGAAAUGAUACACAUGCCUUAUCAUCUAUCAUGAGGGGUGAUUUGGUAAAACCGAUUUAAAAUAAAAAAGUUUAAAAAGAUACUUUGUGUCUGACUGCUUGUAUUUGGGGUAUUUUUCGGGUUGUUGAGAGUGAGUUUAAUUAAAUAUAAGAUUUUCAUUUUUCUUAUUCUAUUUUUCUCUUUAGAAUGAAUUUAAAUCGCAUUCUUAUUAAAUUCAUUUUUUUAAAUGAAAGUAGAUUUCUCUCCACACAUUUGAGAUAUAUUUUAAAACAAAUUAUUGAAUCUGGUCCCGCUGGCUUACAGCUUAUGUAAAGUUACAUUCAUAACAAAUUGAUACUUGUCUUUAUUAUAAAUUGUUCUUUUAUUCAAAUAUGCGUUCAUUUCUUCAAUCAAGUCCUCAUAUUCGUUCAAUUUAUGAUAAGAUCCUUGUAUGGGAGCAUAUCUGCAUAUGUAAUAAUUAUUCUUCUAUUUCAGAUAGUUUUUGUGAAAAAAAUACUUUUAUCAAUUAUUUAUGUUUACUAAUUCUUAUGUCUUUGUUUAUUACUUUUCAUAGCUCUAUACAAAUGUUUGCUAUAAAAUUUGUGCUAUUUCGUUAUAAUAUAAUUUAUAUUGUAAACCUCUGUUCAUCUGUAAAUAAAAUGACAAUUUUUUUGUUUACUCCUAAAAAAUAUAAAAAUAUUAAUUUACUCUCAUAUUUAUUUAGAAGACAAUGGCAAAUAAGAUCGCAUUGAUAAAUUUUUUUAUUUACUUAUUAAUUAAUUAGAGUAAAUUAAUAUUUUCACAAUGAAAGAUACAUUGAAGAUUGUCAUUCUUAGUAGAGGGUAAAUUAAAAUUUACCUAAUUAAUUUAAAAUAUCAUUAAAAUUUUACAUUCUAAUCUGAAUUAGAUUUGCGCGGGGGGGAGGGGGGGGGGGCAACGUCCUUAUUCGGAUUAGACUCAGCUGGAAGAGGCAUAUCCUUAGCUGGAUCAAUUUGUUCAAGUUUGGAUGCAUCCAUCGGUUUCAAAUUAGUCUCUUGUAAGUAUCAUCGGAUUUCUUGACUAAAAUUUAGCUUAUCAAUCACAUCUAAAACUUAUUGAAUGAUACAUUUCAUUUCUAUAAAAUUGAGUUACUAUUACCACCUCACAUCUUAUAAAUUCUAGAAAAUAAUCAAGGCUUGACAUACUUUUAUUUAUGCAAAAGCAUAAGAAAAUAAUUCAAAGUACUAAUUAGUGUACUAUUCCUCAAAAUUCUAGAAUAGAUUUGCUAGUUCUCUUUAGCCAUAGAUUGGUCCAUGAUUGGCACCGCAAUAGCUCAGAAUCACCUCAACGAUUGUUCUACACGGCCCAACAUGACACGCUGUAAACUAGUCUAACAUGAACUUUCUGAGUGGCUUUCUAGCAAUAGUCUUAGAGAAAGUGUUUAGUAGUAUGAAGUCUUCUUUUUUUAACACAAAUAUUGACAUGAUAUUCUUAAUAUAUUUCUAAAAUCAAAAUAAGAUGCAUAGAGGACGACGAUAAUUUUAUUUCAUAAUUGAUUUUUUUGCAAAGAAAGUUUGAACAUGAGAGUGAUGAGAGAUGAGAAUAUUGAUGAUGGUGUGUACUUUGGAUGGAAAAAUAGAUUGGAAAUAUAUAUAGACAUAUUAAAAGAAAAAAAUUUGGUCUAUUUCUUAAGAGAAACAAAAAAUUAUAAACGCGGGUGUUAAAAUGUAUUCAGAAUUUAUAAAUUUUUAUAAAUAUGAUAAUCAUCAGACCCUUAUAAAAGUAUAACAAAAAAGUUUAAAUUUUUUUAAUAAAUGUAGAAGAGAUGAACGAAGAAAUCAUCCACCAGUUCAGAAUUAACAAUCAAAGAUAUGAGGACUUGAUUGAAGAAAUGGUGAAAAAUAAAAGGACACUGGGUUGCUGUCAAUUUCUACCGUGUAGGUUCAUAGCCGGGGAAGUAAUUGGGCACAAAUAUCUCGGAUGAGAAAUAACCAUUUUAUCCCGCAACCAUAUGUUUAUGGCCUCUAAAAAUUUUCACCUCUUUCACUUCUGGAACCCGUGCUUUCUGGCACAUGCACAAUACUUGGUUGCUACUUAUAGAGCGUUUUUAGAAUUGCAACGACAUGGUGCUCUUUGAUAAUUCAAAAAUCCAAUAUAAUUUAUAGAGAAUUACAGAAUUGUUUGUGGUACGUGAUAAUUUGCUGAUGCAAUGAGGCGCCGAAAUUCUUAUACAUGUGAUUUAAGUUAUAUAUGUAUAGUUAAGUACUUAGCAAGCACUAGUUGGGGGUAUUUGUGUCCAUGGAAAUCUACAGCUGGUUGUUGACAUUACACUGCGGGUGUGUAAUUAUUACAUAUGCAGAUAUUCUCCCAUGCGAGGAUCUUAUCAUAAAUUUAAAGGAUACGAGGACUUGAUUGAAGAAAUGAACGAAUAUUUGAAUAAAAAAAUUUUUUAGAAUAAAGACAAGUAUUAAUUUACUAUGAAUGUAACUUACAUAAGCUGUAAGUUAGCGGGACACUAUUGAAUCACAAGCAAAAAACAAUCUGUCUUCUUCUUCAUUCCGUAAUUUGGCUGUCAAAAUACAAUCUAUAAAGAUUACGAUACCUCGAUUCAAAAAAUGUUGUUUCUGAUGAAAUAAAUGAAAAUUGAACGUACAAUCUGCCACGAACACUAUUCAAUUAACCGUUUAUUUCCCCUUAAAUUUUUAAUUUCAAUGAAACAUAGAUCUAAUGGGAACUACAUAUAUAUAAAAAUACUAUAGAUUGAAGAAGUUGAAUUUUUCUUGUGUGUUAAGUAUUUUUGGUUAAUACGAAAGGAUUCUAGCAAGUUAAUACAAAAGUAUCAUAAAUUCAAUGUAGUACAAGAGAUUUUUUUUUUCCUUUGAUGUUAGGAGUUUUGGAGAUAAAAAAAAAUAGGUGAAAGAAGAAGAUGAGAGAAGAAAAAAUAUUAAGAAUAGUUUUGGCAUUUUGAUGCGUUUUAUAGAGUAAAAUUUAUAUUUUAUGGUAUAAAAAGGUACACCCAGAAUUUAAUGAUAAAAUUUUAGGAAAAAAUUGCACUCGUCAAAAAAAAAAAAGGGCUCAGCUUAGCCCAAUUUUUUUUUAUUAAUCUUCUAGUCGCUAAUGUAAUCUCUUUUUUAUGAGAUUCUUUGGCGUUUUAAUUUAGUCCAUUGUUAGCAAUCCUAAUAGUUUUUAUGUGAAAUAUGUUUCAAGCUUGAAUAAAAUCUGCGGGACAACUGGUAAGUAAUAAAGCUCAUCAUUUUUUUUUUAUUUUGAAAAUAAAAGGGAAUCACUUACACUUAGCAUGAUAUUAUUUUUGAUAAGUCAUUUUUUUGGUAGAUUAUUUUUUCUGACACGCUCUUAGAUUUAGUGAAAAUAAAUUGUAUACUUUUAAUGAAGAAAAGUAAAGAUCAACAAAAUAUUUUAUUGUUUUCGACAACUUUCGCGUUGUCAAGUGCGCCUGAUACCCUUUUUGUUUUUUUGAACAUGGGCCCACGUGCCAUUGUUUCCAUUUCAAGUUCAUAAUUUAACAGUAGAAAUGGGUUCCAAAGAUAAUUUAUUUUAUAAUUUUUUAAAAAAUUACCAAAAUAUAAUAAAUAAGGUAAUAAUAAUUAAUAAAAAAGUAGAUUUUAAGAUGGAAAAAUCUUUUUGUGUACUUAAUAAAAAGAUGAUAAGAAUGGGAUGCUUUUAGUUAAUUGGUUUACAUUCUCAUGGUUAUUUAUACUGAAAAAUUACAUCAAAAUUUAAUUAAUAAAUCAGUGAACUGCAGACUUAUUAAAUUUAAGUUAUUUUAAUAAGUCAUAAAUAUACUAAACUAAAAUAGUAAUAAACCCAUUGUUAUACAAUACUCUCCAUUGAGUGUUCACCAUUUUAAGAUAAUCAUAAAAUGACACCGGAAGUGCUAUUAUAGCUGUCUCAUGGAAAGCCUUCACCUAGGGGUGGGCAAAUCGGAUUUCAGUUCGGGUUGUUCGGGUUUCGGUUCGGGUUGGAGAAUUGAACCCAAUCGGGUUCAAAACGCCAACCCGAACCGAACCGAACCGAAUUUAAUUCGGUUCGGUUCGGUUUGGGUUGACAAUUCGGAUCGGAUUGGGUUGAUAAUUCGGGUUACAAUUUCGGUUCGGGUUAAUUCGAGUUAGUUCGGGUUAGUUUGGAUUGAAACAAUUUAAUCUAAAAAUUCUAAGUUUCUAACCACUUAAAAUCUAAAAAUUUAAAUUCCAAAUAUUCUUAACAACAAAUAUCCAGUACAAUCAAACUACAAAAAUUAUAAAUCUAAAAAUUAAAAUGGCAAAUGGCAACCAUGAUUAAACAUCUCCAUUCUCCACAUGACAAAUAAGGCUAAUAAUCCAUCUCUAAGACUAACACCAUCAAUACUCAACACAACAUCUCCAAAUUAGCAAUAAUUAACCACCACCAUAGAAAAAUAUCGAGCAACAACGGAUAGAAAAUGAAGCAAAUCAGUCCAUGCUGCAAAAAAAUUAAAAAACUUAAUUAAAAUUUAGUUGAAUAACUCAAUAUGCCUUAACAAUUCUCAAUAUUACUAGUAGCAUAUUUGUAUUAUGACUAUGCCUUAAUUGUAAAUGAUUAUUAAGUUUGAUCUAAAUCGAUAACAAACUUACUGUUGCAGCAAAAAUCUUCAUAUUAGAACACUUGGAUGUUCUGCUUAUGUCGAUUUACGAAGCUCUACAUAAAAUAAAAAGAUUUGAAGUAAAUAACUCUUUAACUUAAAGUAAACAAAUCUAAAAAAUAAAUAAAUAAUCAUUAAUAUUUAUACCUUCUGUAAGAGCAUCCAUGAACUCAUUUUCCUCCACCAACACCUGAAGGUUUGUCGUUGAAUCAAUAAAAAGUGAAGUUCGCAACCAAUUUUGUGUCAGUAUCAAUGCUUCCACCAUAUCAGGAGUCAUAGAACUCCUAUUAUUCAUCUAAAAUACGACCUCCUGUGCUAAAGGCGGACUCAUGAAUUCUUGAGCCACCACUAUCAGACAUCUGAAUCAUAAAUCCAUAACAUGAUCGCAUUAGGUUCUCAUUACAAAACCUCAAAAUUUCAUAAUGUUAUAACUUAUAAUAUCCUAAAUUGAACAAAUAUCACAAUUUAAUUAAUUGAACAACACUUAAGUUAAAUACAAACAAUAAUAAUAACUACAUAUCAACAAUUCAGCAUAUUACCAUUUUCUAAAUUAAAAAAACAGCAAAAAUUAAUCAAUUAAUUAACAAUCUCCAAUUUAAUUAAUAACUUCAAUUUAAUUAAUAACCAUCUCCACCCUCCAAUUGUUCAAUUAUCAAUAAACUCACUCCAAUUUAAUUAAUAACAAUCUCCAUUUAUUCAAUUAUCAAUCAACAACAACAAACCCACUUCAAAUAAUUGAAUAAUUAUCAAUCAAUUAAUUAAAAAUUUACAAUUUAAUUAAUAUCAAUAGGCUAUUAAAAACUUAAAAUUUGAAUCGGGUUGUUGCCAUCAGCUGCGUGCAAGUCAGCAAGUUAUAGCGUCGCCGUCGGCAAGGUAAGACAAACCUUGAUCUCGGAGGUCGGAGUAGCUACAACGUCGGCAGAUCGAGGCUUGCUGGGCUGAGUGGGACGCGAGCUGAACGGCGAACGCACAGCGCAGUUGCGGGCAAGGCGUGCUGGCUGACGUGAGUGGGCUGCGGUGAACGGAGAUGCUGGCUGCUGCUGUGAGUGUUCUUGUCGUGGGAGGGAGUGAGACGGUGAACGGGGCUGCUGGCCGCUGCUGCUGUCCGCUGCUGGUGGCUGCUGGUGGCUGCUGCUGGUGGCUGGUGGCUGCUGCUGGUGGUUGCUGCUGGUGGCUGCUGCUGCUGGCUGAGCUACUGCUGCUGGCGGCUGCGAGCUGCUGCUGCUGGCUGCUGCGAGCUGCUGCUGCUGGCUGCUGCGAGCUGCUGCUGCUGGCUGCUGCGAGCUGCUGCUGCUGGCUGCUGCGAGCUGCUGUUGUUGGUGUCUGUUGGAGCUGAACGGGGCUGCUGUGGCUGCUGCUAAGGGGCUGCUGCAGAAGUCGUCGGCCACAGUUCACAGAAAAUGAGAAGAGGAAGCAAGGAGGGGAGGCCGAGAGGGAGAGCUUUUUGUUUAGGGUUAGGGAUUUUUUAGUUUAAUUAAUGUUUAUAACUAUAUAUAUUUUUAAUUUAAAAGUUAAAUGUUAAAAAAAAUAACUUCAACUUGAACCGGUUGAAAAUUCGGUUUGGGUUCAACCCGAACUAAAAUAUAACUUGAACGGAUUAAAAUUUUGAACCCGUUCGGAUUUCACAGGUUAAUCCGAACUGAAUCAAACCCGAAAUAAAUUUCGGGUUCGGUUCAGUUCGGGUUAACCCGAACCGAACGCCCACCCCUACCUUCACCAAUAAAAAGGAGGAUAGAGCACAUACAUCCAGUUUUUAUACCCUUUGAUGCUCAGUCGACACGUGCCAAUGCUAUAGACUAUCGGAUAAUCUACUAAGGUGACGCAUGCCAAUGCUAUAGACUAGCUUUUCAAAGGUUGAAGUGGGUAUACUAAUAGUAAAAAGAGACUUAAUUCUCAGAGGCUACUCAUUCUAAGUCUUAAAGAAAAAAUUUUCUAAUUUCUAAAGAUUAUAUGGGGAAAAAUCAUUAUUUUCUAACAUGGAAAAUUUGAUACGGUGUUUAAUGUCUGAUCACAAUCAUAAUAUGAGUACUAACAAAAACAUCUUUAAUCGGCAUGGUGCAAGUAAAACACCAUCACUUCAUCUUUGAUGGAAAGAUGAUAAUAUAAGGAGAUGGUGAAAUGGUUUUGGUCCCUGGCAGCUUUAAUCAAAAGAAAACAAAAAACUACACUAUCAUUAAUGAUUACCGAAGCUACAAAAGUAUCAAAAUCGGAAAGUAAACAAUUGCAAAACACAUCAAUGACUGGAGGUUAGAUUCUAAAACUUCCGCAUUUAAUUUUCAGAGCAUGUUAUGUAUUAUUCAGAAAUAUGCUUUCACUUCAGGAAUUUGACCAAGACGCAUUAAACAUAAAACGCGGCGUUUUCAUGGACUAGUACAUUCCAUGCUUCGAAAGUUUAUGUUUUAGACUGAUUGGUUUGAUACAUUAUUUGUUUAUUGCGUUUUUCUUGCUUUAAAUAUUAUGUUGGAUUGAUAAGUUUUGUACACAUUUAUAUUGCUCGCAGUAAAUAAUUUAUGACAUUUAAAAGACUAUCAACCGUCUAUCAAAAGAUUUCUACUAUAAAUAUAUAUGCACAAAAAACUUUUAAUUUGGUCAAUUUGUUCUCUUAUUUAUUCAACCCAUCAUCCACAAAAUCACCAACCCGUUUCACCUUCAUCUCCUUGGGCUUAACAGGGUACUUUCCAGCAAGCAAAACAAAAAUUCUGAGAAUCAUCGCCUAACAACUAGUUCAAGCUGUCAAUCGGCAGAAAACAAGCGAAUCACACCCAAUAAACUCCCUGAUUUCCUCAACGCUCAUCCUGUUGGAAAUCAACUCCUCAGUACUUGGAGUGUCUACUCCGUAGUAACAAGAAGCUAUGAUUGGUGGGCUUGCAAUUCUCAUGUGAACCUCUUUAGCUCCAGCCUCCUUAAGCAACCUAAAAAUUUUUGAUGAAGUUGUUUCUCACACUAUCGAAUCAUCCACAACCACAACUCUCUUUCCCUCCAACCACAACCUUACAGGAGACAGCUUAAGCUUGACACCAAAGUCCCCAAUUUUCUGGGAAGGCUCAAUGAAAGUUCUCCCAACAUAAUGUGACCUUAUCAACCCUUGUUGAAAUGGCACCCCGGCUUUCGCAGCGUACUCAAGUGCAGCCACCACUCCAGAAUCUGGUACUGCAAUCACGACAUCACACUCAACAGGAGCAUCGGUAGCAAGUACUUCCCCAAAAUGAUACCUCGACUCAUAAACAGACCUUCCACAAACAACAGAAUUAGGCAAAGCAAAAUAAAUAUGCCCAAAGAUGCACUGCUUACGUUCAGGGUGAGGCAUCAAACAAGGUGAUUGAACCCCAUCUUUAUCAACCAUCAAAACUUCACCGGGAUAUACCUCUCUCUCUCUCUCUCUCUCUCUCCCCCUCUCUCUCCCUCUCUCUCGUAUGUGGCCUCAAUCAAAUAGUGCACAAGUCUCCGACGCAAAAACCAGAGCACCAUUACUCCUCCUACCCAUCACCAAUGGCAUAAACCCAUACGGGUCACGAACCGCAACAAGCUUAUCCUCAGUAACAAACACCAUUGAAUAAGCACCCUCAAGCUUCUCACAAACAUCCACAAUCCUCAAAAAGAACGGCCUAGCUUUCGAUAUCGGAAUCAAAUGGAGAACAACCACAGUAUCAGAACUAGUAUUGAAAAUGGAUCCAUUAUCUUCAAGCUUAGCCCUCAAAGUAUUAUAAUUAACUAAUGUGCAACACCAACAGAACCAAACCUGUACCCAGCAACAAAAGGCUGCACAUUCUUAAGCAUAGAACUACCCGCAGUCGAAUAUCUAGCAUGACCAAUGGCCAUAUCACCCGGCAAUUGAUCAAGUUUAGACUGAUUAAACACAUCAGAGACUAAACCAACACCAGUAAUAGACUGAAGAACUUUGUUAUUCACAGCAACUAUACCUGCACCUUCUAGGCCGCGAUGCUGCAUCGCGUGUAGCGCCAAAUAGCACAAACGCGAGGCCUCUGGGUCACCAUAGAUGCCCACAACACCACACUCCUCACGGGGCUUAUCGUCGUCAUCAUCAUCAAAACUGCCAAAACCGUCAUCUGGGUAUUCUUUAUUUGUGGUGAAAAACUCAGAGAUGGGGUUUUUUGAUAGAACAGUGAAGUUAUUUUUGUGGAUUAAAGAUUGUUGUUUCUGAGGAGAAAAAAGGGUUUUUUUGCAGGGUUUUGGAGAAAAGAGAAAGAUGGGGUUUUUGCGACGGCUUAGGGUUAGCAGAGGGAGAUGGGUUUGAGAGAGUGCAGAUGUUGGCGGUGCCUGUUGUGGUGG